GAAACAGGUUUUGAUCGCACUAGCUAGUUCAAGGGUUUGACUAAUAAAGACAGUAUCACCACCGUCGGAAUGAGGAAUUCUCCGGCAAUUUCCACGGCGGAAUCCGGCAACAAAAGUGGAAUUAGAUGGUUUUCCGGCAUGGUACACGCCGGGAAGAAGGCAUACAUGGAUAAUCAGAAGCCGAGGCAGGUUGAGAAGGCUGAGAAAGUCAUGCAUCUUAUCUGUUGGGGACCCAAAUAGUUCAUUUCUUAAGUAAGUAGUGCUUACGUUCGAAUCUUGAGAAUAAAGAAUCUUUUCAGAUGAAAGCGGUUUUCUCUUUAGUGAGUUUAUAUAUUACAAUGAAAUCUGAACAAUCGAAUUAAUGACUUCAAUUAUCGAAUGGUUAAUAAAAAAAAAAGAUUGUGUUUAUAACUUUUUCCUUUUUCCCCCCUUUUUGGGGUUUGUUUUGCCCUUUUUUCCUGUCUUAUUAUCAUCUCCUUUUCUUUCUUUUUUUUGUUUGCUUUAGUUAGUAUGGCCUAAUGGGAGAGUCGAAAUUAUUAUGUUAUUUGCUCUCUAGGAGAGUUUGUAAUUAUAUAUUAAAUGUUGUUAAAAAUAUGUUUUGGUGGGAGAUGUUUCGUCUAAAUUUUCCAAAUUGAACCAAUAUGUGAUAUUCUCAGAAAUACAAAAUGGAAAUCAAUCCAGAAUACUAGUAGUAAAUUUCUAACUUCAUUUUAGACGAUUCGACUUGAUUUGAGUUAUUAGUUCUGUGGUUUUACAACUUAAUUAGAUAGAAAACCUUCACCUAAAAAAACAUAAACAUAUAGUUAUGACCGAACACCACCUCAUAAUAAACCUAAGAAAUAAUGAAUUCAGUUGUGAAAUUGAGAAGAAAAGAGGCAAGUGAGGACAAUUUUAUGGGUCGUCGAUAAUCAAAGAGGUAAGGUCUGCGUAUACUCUAUCCUCCCCAGAUUCCACUGAUGAAAUUUUACUAGGUGGUUGUUGUUGUUUUUGUUGAUAAGCAAAAGAGGGCCUUUUAGUGUGUGUGUGUGUAUAUAUAUAGUAGUUUAUAGACAAAUAAAUUAAUUUGAUCCCAUGAUAAUGAAUAAGUUAGACAAACAUAAAAUACUUAGCAUUGAUAUGGAGACAGAACAACAGAAAUCGUAAUAUCGGGAGCAGGGCUUCCGAGGACAAUAAUCACGAUAUAAAUGAGCAAAAAGAUAAAAUUAUAUUGAGCUCUGAACAAAGUGUAGCAUAUGUUUGUAAGAAAAUUCGUGUCAUUUACAAUGAUAAUAUUGCUCAUUAUUAUAGUUGCACCUAGGGAACAAGGUCCUAGGAUCAAGCCCCUCUUUAAUGACAAUUAUGAGGGCUAUUGAAGAAUGUGUAACAGUAGGCAAUGAAUGUCAUAUUCUCUAUAACAGUCCACAUACUUAAUGCUGUAGAAAAUUCUUUAUUAAAUGCUACCGGGUGGCAGACAAUUAUUUCACCUUCAUGAGGAUCAUUUUCUUCGAUAACAGACGAGAUCGUUGCCUUCGGAUCCGACUUCCUUCUAUCUUCGGCUCUAUGUCACUUUCUCAUGUGAUCAUUUAAUAUAAACACAUUUUACCCUAUACAUAUGGCCCCCUUGCUUUUCGAUGGCAUAACUUUGUGUCAACGGGAAGUUGGUAGAAAUACCUUUUUUGGCGGAAAAUUCUCUGGCCCCCGCCGAAAAGUUUCUGACAGCUGAUUAGACCCAUGUCUCUUUGCAUUUAAUGCCCUGAACACGCGUCAUCCCACGAUUCAUCACCACUUUUGUCGGUUAUCGAGGUAAUUAUGGCCACGAUUUUAGCCGCCUAUUCCGUUACUUAUACGUAUCAAACUUCUCCAUUUACACUUCAUAACCUUCCAAACUCUCUCGAACUCUUUUUGUUUAACUUAUACUUGUCCUCAACUUUCCCAAAUCUUCUCUUUUAGUGAAGACCCUUUCCUCUUUUUUGAUAGCAAUGGCCUCUUCUUCCAGAAACCUUAGUUCUUCAAAGAACAAAGGUAAAGUUGAUGACAUUGCUCCUCUUACGGUGAGCACCAUCAUCCCAAAGAGUCUUAUCAAAACGAAGGACUUCAAAGAGAAGUUUCCUACCGUUAAUUCACGCACGUGGGUUGUUGGCAUGUAUCCUUCUUCUAUCCGUCCUUCCAGCAUCCCUGUUGUGAAGGAAAACCGACAUUGCCUUGAUUUGAACAUCAUCGCUCGUGACCUGUCGGAGUCGAUAAUCUUACCCAAGAAAGGUUUUACGUAUUUUUAUAUGUAUCCCUUCACUUUGGGGCCAUUCUCUUUGAACUGGGAGCUUAACUCUGUUAUCACGGAGCUCUGCAUCCGUUAUCAGGUAUACCUGGCGCAGGUAAGUCCUUCUGUGUGGAGGACAAUUGCUUGUCUUAGGCGUCUAUGCCAGGAGACAGGAGAAGAGCUAACCUUGGCUUGAUUAAUGAUCCCCCAAGAUUUUCCGUGGGAGAAUGAUAAAUUUCAGCAAGUGUGGCCACUAUGCUCUGCUAUCCAGCAUGGAUGAUGAUAACGAUCGUGAGUGGAAGGAACGGUUCAUCAUAGUUGCCACAAGCGACAUCAUUCCGGCCACGGCUUCAUCCUUUUCGGAAUUAUGGAACCUAACUCAUAAGUUCAUCAUUUGUCUUUUCUUUCAUUAAAGAUCGCCCCAUAUCGUUAUUGGACCUUCUUCUUUAGCUUAUUUCAGCAACUCGGUGGGUACCACCUAGGGUUGAAGGCUUGGAUCAGUGGGUCCAAAAAAAUUUGAAUGUUACUAUGCUCGAGACCCGCACGUGGAAAAAACUUGCCCUUAAAUAUGGGUGGGAGGCCAAGAAUCAUGGUAAGUUGAACUCAUCUUGUUUUUACUGUAACGACAUGGCCAGUUGUUUUGAGUAUUUUAGCCCCUAUCCCCUAUAUUAUGCUUCCUCUAUGCUAUACUGUAGUUAUGUAACUUGCCUGGGUGGUUGGUUUUGGUUUCGGGUGAGUUUUGGAGUGAAAUGGGAUACAUAGUCCCUAAGUUGGAAGGUUAAGUCGUAGGAGUUGACCGUAGAUUGACUUGUAUGAAGACGACUUCGGAAUGGAGUUUUGACAGUUCCAAUAGCCCCUAUGGUGAUUUUUGUCGUAGAAGCAUGUCCGAAGGGUAAUUUGGAGGUCUGUAGGUUGUUUCGGCGUGAUUUGGCGAAAUUUGAAAAGUUGGAGGAUUUUUGGAAAGUUUGACCAUGAGUUGUCUUUAUUGAUAUCGGGGUCAAAAUCCAAUUUCGAAAGUUGAAAUAUGUCUGCAAUAUCAUUUAUGACUUGUGUGCAAAAUUUGAAGUCAAUCAGAGUUAUUUUGGUAUGAUUCGGCAUCGGUUUUAGAAUUCGGAAGUUCAUAAUUUCUUAGGCUUGAAUUUGGAUUGCGAUUCGUAGAAUUUAUGUUAUUGGAUGUGAUUUUUGUCCUUGAGUAGGCCUGUUAUUUAUUUUGAAACUAUUUGGUAUAUUCGAGCGGGGUCCCGGAGGCCUCGGGUGUGAUUCUGAUCGAAUCCGGAACAAUUUGGACUUAUUGAAUUUUGCUGAAGGUUGGCAGCUUCUGGUGUCUUUGCACUUGCGGAGGGAUUAGCCGCAGAUGCGGGCUUGCAAAAACGAGCACUUGGUCGCAAAUGCGGAGCUAGGCAUGCCCAACUGGGGGCGCAUGAGUGGGAAAUGUUCCACAGAAGCGGCUUCGCUUAUGCAUUGGAGGGGAACGUAGGAGCGACAGUGGUAACAGGUGAGACGCUUGUGCCGCAGGUGCGCAUGCGCAGAUGCGAACCUUUUUCCGCAGAUGCGGAUAUCUUGGACUUAAGUGAAGACCGCACCUGCGAUGGUUUUCCCGCAGGUGCGUAGCCACAGAUGCGGUAGAAAGGUCGCAGGUAAGAUUUAACUGGCAGAAAAAGGGGAAAUUCGAGGCUUAGUUUUCAUAAUUUAUUUUGGGAUUUUGGGAGCUCAGUGGGAAAUGAAAUUUCGAGGAAUUUUCAGUGAGAAUGUUGGGGUAAGAAGAAGCCUUAACUCAAUUUUGGUUAAAUUACUCGAGUCUAUCAUUGUUUUAUCAUGUAAUUAGGGAUUGGAGUUGGAAAAAUUGGGAAAAGGUGGUAGAACUUCUUAGACUAAGUUUUUAGUUUUGAAAAGCGAAUUGAGGUCAGAUUUGAAUAAUUCUUGUGUGAUUGAACUCGAUAUCGAAUGGGUGUUCGAAUUUUAUAAUUUUGGUCGGGUUUCGAGAUGUGGACCGAGUUGACUUUUUGGGUUGAUUUUUCAAUUCUUUGCAAAGAUCGUAAUUUCACUGUUUGAAUUAGUUUCCUAUAGUUAUAAUUUUAGUAUGAAAUUUUGGCUGAAUUCGAGCCGUUCGGAGUUGGAAAAUCGAGGGAAAGGUCUUCUAGUGGAUUGACUUAGCAUGAUUUGAGGUAAGUGGCUUGCCUAACUUUGUGUCGGGGAACUUUCCCUUAGGAUUGGUGUUACUUGUGAUAAUUGUGAUGUGCAAAAGCCGUGUACGAAAGGUGACGAGUGUGUACACGGGCUAAAUAUGAAAAUUAUCGGUUUUUGGCUGUGUAAAUUCCUUUCAUGUCAUAGUUGAGUUGCUUUAACAUGUUAUAGUCUUCAUUUUUAGUCUAAUUCUAUAUGUCUACUUCUCUUAUCCCUUACUGGCUAAUUGCUCUACAUGUUUAGUCAAAAUUCUUGUUUCUUUUAUUCCGUAUUCAUUAUUAACUAUGGAAUUCUUUAUUGAAAUUAUUAUUUCUUGGAAUAUCUUGUCGUUAAAAUUAGUAUUGAGUUGCAAGGGCCGUGAUUCUAUUGAGGCAAAGUGUUAAGUUGUUAAACAUCAUGCUAUUGAGUUAUUCCUCGGGUUGUUAAUUGUUGAGACUUUGUGUACAUUGUGUUUGAGUCGUGGGCUCCUUGUUGUGAAAUUAUGUUAUUGUUUGGUUUCUCUGGCACGUUGUGAUAUUGGGCCCUUGAGGUGUGGUUUAUGAUAAGUUGUGAUAGUGAUACGCAUGUGGUGGUAUAAGGUUUGGGUGUUGAAACACAUGCGGUGAGAUAAGGUGGUCUUGAUACGCAUGGUUAGUAGGAAACUACUAGAAUCCAUGCGGUAUGAUAAGGUGGGCUGAAACGCGGGAUGCUAUUUCGGGAAAAAUAAUUUUCAAAACUAAAUGUAAAGACUCCCGCGGUGAUAUAAGAAAAGAUUUUGAUUUAUUUUGUGAUUUGAGACUACGAGGCGGUACCUCAGUAGUGACUCUUGUUGACAUUUUCCCAUUUUCUUGUCUUGAUCGGUUUUUCCUUAGCAUAUUAUUAAAUGUCUUGCUCUAUGUUGCACUAUUUGCUUAGUUUCGUGUAUCUAAUCUUGUUAUGCUAUUCGUUUGUUUAAUUUUCAUUACUAUCUUAUUAUACUAUCUAUAUUGUUCAGUCUUUUAUUUAUUUUUAGUAGGGCCUGACUUGAUCUCGUCACUUCUCUACCAAGGUUAGUUUUGGCACUUACUAGGUAUCAUUGUGGUGUACUCAUGCUACUCUUCUGCAUAUAUUUUUAUGCAUAUCCAGGUGCUUCCUACUAGCCCAGGCGUUAGUUAGGAUUCUACUGCGAAGACUUCAAGGUAUACUUGCCGGUGUCCGCAGGCCUUGGAGUCCCCCUCUCUCUAGAUCUCUUAUUUCGUCAUCCUUAUUAUAUACUCGUGAUGCAUAUGAUUAUACAAUACUCAUACUUAGAGAUUGUGACUUGUAUUUUCACCGGGCCUCGGGAUUUGUGUAUGAUGUGUUGAAGUGUUGGUAUAUAUAUAUCUAUUGAGUUUGAGAAGUUUAUUUACUAUUAUUUCAAUUAUUUUGCAUGUUGUUAGGCUCACCUAGUUGUUGUCACAGCAUCCUACAGAGGAAAUUCGAGGUCAUGACAAGUUGGUAUUAGAGUUCUAGAUUUAUAGGUGUUAUGAGUCACAAGCAAGUUUAGUAGAGUCUCGCGGAUCGAUACGGAGACGUCUGUACUUAUCUUUGGGAGGCUAUGGAACUGUUAGGAAAAGCUUCACUUCUUUGAUUCCUUAUCAUGCGAAAUUGUUGACUUCGGGAUUCUAAACUUCUGUCUUUCUGUUCUCUCAUAGAUGGUGUGGACACGUAUAAUUGGAUCGGAUUACGAGAUACCCACGUCCCCUAAUAGAGCCUCGAGAGGCCGGGGCCGAGGACGUCCAUGUGGUGCAGCCAGAGCACCUGCACGAGCUGCUACAGAGGAACCACCAGUAGCUCUAGUUGGAGAACAGGCACCUGAGACGUCUGUUACUACCCAGCACUCCAGGAGACUCUCUCCCAAUUUCUGAGCAUGUUCGAUACUUUAGCUCGGGCAGGGUUGAUACCACUUUCUCUUGCCACAUCUCGGGCUGGGGGAGAAGCACAUACUUCCGCCACCCAUACCCUAGAGUAGUGGGCCCAAGUUGACCAGGUCCCAAAGGUCAUACCAAUACAGUUGGUCGUUCCAGUUCGGCCCGAGGUUAGGGCAGCAACUUUUGAGGGGGAGCAGCUCAGGCUCGAGAGGUACAAAAAUUACAACCCUCAUACUUUCAGCGGCUUGGCGUCAGAGGAUGCCUAGUGUUUUCUUGAGGAGUACCACCGUAUCCUCUGUACGAUGGGUAUUGUGGAGUCUAGUGAGGUUGUUUUCACUACAUUCUAGCUUAAGGGAGCAGCUUAUUAUUGGUGGCAAGCAUAUGAGUUGUGUAGUCCGACCGAGGCAGCUUCACUCACUUGGGCUUAAUUUUCAGAUAUGUUCUUGAGGGAGUUUGUUCCCCAGAGUCUUAGAGAUGCAUGGCGCGCAGAGUUUGAGCAGUUGCGCCAGGGUUCUAUGAUCGUAUCGGAGUAUGCGAUCCAGUUCAGUGAUUUGUCUAGGCAUACACCAGCCUUGGUUGCUACUGUUAGAAAACGAGUCCAUCGAUUUAUCGAGGGGCUUAACCCGGAUUCAGAUUUAGCAUGACUCGAGAUUUGGAGAUGAACAUUGCAUACCAGCAGGUAGUGGAGAUCGCUAGGAGGUUAGAGGGUAUGUGGGCCUGGUAAAGAGAGGAGAGGAGGGCCAAGAGGCCUCGAGAUUCUGGCACAUAUAGUGGUGCCUGUGCCCCAGUUGCAGCUCGUCAUGGUAGGGGCUAUGUGAGUCACUUUGUUCAUUCAGUACUUCCAGCUUCCAGCGGUAUUCUGGCCACUCCUAGGCCUCAGGAUCCCUUUUAUGCACCGCCAUUAUCUAGUGCACCUCCUGCACGGGGUGCUUUUAGCAGUCAGUCCAGCUGCUCAGGCUUUAGCCAACCACAACAACCAAGUCCUCUGAGAGCUUGUUUUAAGUAUGGUGACACUCGUCACAUGGUGAGGGAUUGCCCCAGACUCAGGAGGGGUGCACCUCCACAGACCACUCAGGCUCCGCGUAUUCCACCGGGUCCUCAGGACAUGGUGACCGCACCAGUUGCCACUCCAGCUGCAUAGCCAACUAGAGGUGGAGGUCAGGCAGGUAGAGGUUGCCAUAUAAGGAGAGGUCAGGCAAAAUAUUAUGGUCUUCCUGCUAGGACGGAGGCAGUUGCAUCCGACUCACUCAUCAUUGGUAUUGUUCUGGUCUGUCAUAGAGAUGCAUCAGUCUUAUUUGAUCCAAGAUCCAUUUAUUCCUAUGUGUCAUCUUACUUUGCUCUAUAUUUGGGUGUAUCUCGUGAUUCUUUGAGUUCUCUAGUUCAUGUAUCCAUACCCGUGGGAGAUUCUAUUGUUGUUAACCGUGUGUAUUGGUCGUGUUUAGUUGUUCUUGGUGAUUUUAAGACCACAGUCGAUCUAUUAUUGCUCAGUAUGGUAGAUUUUGAUAUUAUUUCGGGCAUGAACUGAUUGUCAUCCUCUUAUGUUAUUCUCGAUUGUCACGCCAAGACCGUGACGCUUGCUAUGCCAGGGUUACAUGGGUAGAGUGGAGAGGUGCUUUAGAUUAUGUUCCUAGUAGGGUUAUCUCAUUUCUAAAGGCUCAGUGUAUGGUUAAGAAGGGGUGUAAUGAUUAUCUAUCUUUCGUGAGAGAUGUCAGUGUUGAUACUUCUACCAUGGAGUCAGUUCCGAUAGUGCAGGAUUAUCCAGAUAUAUUUCCGGUGGAUCUUCUGGACAUGUCGCCCGAUAAGGAUGUUGAUUUUUGUUAUUGAUUUAUUACUAGUCACUUAGCCCAUUUCUAUUCCACCCUAUCGUAUGGCCCCAAUAGAGUUGAAAGAAUUAAAGGAGCAGUUGCAAGAGUUGCUUGAUAAGGGCUUCAUUCAGCCCAGUGUGUCGCCUUGGGGUGCUCCAGUCUUGUUUGUAAAGAAGAAGGACGGUUCUAUGCAUAUGUGUAUUAAUUAUCGCAAGAUGAACAAGGUUACAGUGAAGAAUAUGUAUCCAUUGCCACAUAUUGAUGAACUAUUUGAUCAGCUAGAGGGCGCCAGAGUGUUCUCCAAGAUUGACUUCCGUUCAGGCUAUCAUCACUUGAAGAUUUGGGAGCCAGAUAUACCGAAGACUACCUUCAGGACUCGGUAUGGUCAUUACGAGUUCCCUGUGAUGUCUUUUGGAUUGACCAACGCCUCAGAAACAUUCAUGGAUUUGAUGAACAGUGUAUUUCAGCCCUAUCUUGACUCAUUUGUCAUUGUGUUUAUUGACGAUAUUUUGGUGUACUCCCAAAGUCGGGAGGAUCAUGAGCAGCACUUGAGGACUGUACUCUAGACCUUGAGAGAAAAGAAGUUAUAUGCAAAAUUUUCAAAAUGUGAAUUAUGGCUUUAUUCGGUAGCAUUUUUAGGCCAUGUAGUGUCGAGUGGGGGGAUCAUUGUAGAUCCGAAGAAUAUUGAAGCAAUGUAGAGUUGGCCCAGACCGUCUUCAGCUACGGAGAUCCGGAGUUUUCUUGGUUUGGCGGGGUAUUACCAUCGAUUUGUAGAGGGUUUCUCAUCUAUUUCAUAGCCUAUGACCAAAUUAACCCAGAAGGGUGCUCUAUUCAGGUGGACCGAGGAGUGUGAGGAGAGAUUUUAAAAGCUCAGGACUGUUUUGACUACAGCCCCAGUGUUGGUAUUGCCUACAGGUUCAGGGUCUUAUACUGUGUAUUGUGAUGCAUUACGUAUUGGUCUCGGUGCGGUAUUGAUGCAGGACGGUAGGGUGAUUGCCUACGCAUCUAGAUAGAUGAAGGUGCAUGAGAAGAACUAUCAUGUCCACGACCUUGAGUUACAAGCUAUUGUUCAUGCCUUGAAGAUUUGGCCGCACUAUUUGUACGGUGUUCCUUGUGAGAUCUACACUGACCACCAGAGUCUACAGUAUCUGUUCAAAUAGAAGGAACUUAACUUGCGUCAAAGAAGGUGGUUAAAGUUGCUUAAGGACUAUGAUAUCACCAUUCUGUAUCACCCCAGGAAUGCCAAUGUGGUGGCCGAUGCCUUGAGUCGCAAGGUGGAGAGUUUGUGCAGCUUAGCAUAUCUAUUGGUAGUGGAGAGGCCAUUAGCAUUGGAUGUUCAGGCCUUGGCCAACCAGUUUGUUAGAUUGGAUGUUUCUGAGCCAGGUCAAGUUUUGGCUUGUGUGGUUUCUCGGUCUUCUCUUCAUGAUCGUAUCAGAGAGCGUCAGUAUGACAGCCCCCAUAUGCUUGUCCUUAAGGACACAGUUCAGCAUGACAAUGCUAAGGAGGCCACUAUUGGAGAUGAGGGUGUAUUAGGGAUGUAGGGCAGGCUAUGUAUGCCCAAAGUAGAUGGUUUGAGUGAGUUGAUUCUCCAGGAGGCUCACAGUUCGUGGUACUCCAUUCAUCCAGUUGCCGCGAAGAUGUAUCAGAACUUGAGGCAGCAUUAUUUGGUGGAGGAGAAUGAAGAAGGACAUAGUGGAGUAUGUAGCUCGGUGCCUAAACUGUCAGCAGGUGAAGUAUGAGCAUUAGCGGCCAGGUGGAUUGCUUCAAAAGCUAGAGAUUCUAGAGUGGAAAUAGGAGCGAAUUACUAUAAAUUUUGUUGUUGGGCUCCCAUAGACUCAGAGGAAGUUCGAUGCAGUUUGGGUGACUGUGGAUAGGUUGACCAAGUCAACUCAUUUCAUUCCAAUGGUGACUACUUAUUCUUCUGAGCAGCUAGCCCGAGUUUAUAAUCGCGAGAUUGCCAGGCUUCAUGGAGUGCCGAUAUCCAUCAUCUCUGGCCGGGGUACAUAGUUUACAUCGCGGUUCUGGAAAGUCGUACAACAAGAGUUAGGUGCACGAUUUGAGUUGAGCAUGGCAUUUUACCCGUAGACGGAUGGGAAGUCCGAGUGCACUAUUUAAAUAUUGGAGGAUAUGCUUCGUGCAUGUGUGAUGGAGUUUGGGGUUUCUAGGGAUCAGUUCUUGCCGCUUGCGGACUUUUCCUAAAAUAACAACUACUAGUCAAGCAUUUAGAUGGCUCCAUAUGAGGCUUUGUAUGGUAGACGGUAUCGGUCUUCGGUGGGUUGGUUUGAGCCGGGUGAGACUAGGCUAUUGGGUGCAGACUUGGUUCAGGAUGCUUUGGAAAAGGUUAAAAUUGAUUCAAGAUCGACUUCGUACAAUCCAAUCCAGAUAUAAGAGUUAUGUGAAUCGGAAGGUUCGCGACAUUGAAUUCGUGGUUGUGGAGUGGGUCUUGCUCCAAGUUCGCCCAUGAAGGGUGUUAUGAGGUUCAGGAAGAAGGUCAAGUUGAGCCCUAGGUAUAUUGGGCCAUAUGAGAUACUUGAGAGGAUUAGAGAAGUGGCAUAUAGGCUUGUAUUACCACCUAGUCUAGCUGUAGUUCAUCAAGUAAUCCAUGUUUCUAUGCUCCGGAAGUAUCACGGCGAUCUAUCUCAUGUGUUAGACUUCAGCUCAGUCCAGUUGGACAAGGAAUUGUCUUAUGUUGAGGAGUCGGCGGCCAUUUUGGACAGGAAGGAUCCAAAGUUGAGGUCGAAGAACAAUGCUUUAGCGAAGGUUCAGUGGAGGGGUCAGCUAGUCGAGAAGGUGAAUUGGGAGACGGAGCAUGAUAUAUAUAACCAUUAUCCUUAUCUUUUCACCACUUCAGGUAUGUCUCUAUACUUGUUCGAGUACGAACGUUUGUUUUAAUAGGGGGAGGAUGUAACGACCCGGCCGGUCAUUUUGAGUAUUUUAACCCCGAUCCCCUAAAUUAUGAUUCCUCUAUAUUAUAUUGUGGUCAUGUAACUUUUCGAGGUGAUUGGUUUUGGUUUCGGGUGAGUUUCAAAGUGAAAUGGGGCACAUAGUCCCUAAGUUGGAAGGUUAAGUCGUAGGAGUUGACCAUAGUUUGCCUUGUGUGAAUACGACUCCAUAAUGGAGUUUUGACGGUUCUAAUAACUCCGUAUGGUGAUUUUGGUUAGGAGUGUGUACGAAUGUUGAUUUGGAGGUCUGUAGGUCGUUUCGGCGUGAUUUGGCAAAAGUUGGAAAGUUGGAGGAUUUUGGAAAGUUUGACCGGGAGUUGAGUUUAUUGAUAUCGGAGUCGGAAUUUGAUUCCGGAUGUUGGAAUAGGUCCGUAAUAUCAUUUAUGACUUGUGUGCGAAAUUUCAAGUCAAUCAAAGUUGUUUUGGUAUGAUUCGACAUCGGUUUCGGAAUUUAGAAGUUCAUAAUUUCUUAGGCUUGAAUUUGAGUUGCAAUUCGUAGAAUUUAGGUCAUUGGAUGUGAUUUUUGACCUCGAGAAGGUCCAUUAUGUAUCUAAGAACUAGUUGGUAUAUUCGGACGGGGUCCCAGAGGCCCGGGUGUGAUUUGGAUCGAAUCCGGAAUAAAUUGGAUUUGUUGAAUUUUGCUGAAGGUUGGCAACUUCUGGUGUCUUCGCACCUGCGAAGAGAUUGGCUGCAGGUGCAGGCUCAUAAAAAUGAGCACUUGGUCGCAGAUGUGGAGCUGGGCAUGCCCAGCUAGGGGCGCAGGAGCAGAAAAUGUUCCGCAGAAGCAGCUUCGCUUCUGCAAUAGUGGGGAACGCAGGAGCGACAAUGGUCGCAGGUGCGACGCUUGUGCUGCAGGUGCGCAUGCGCAGAUGUGAGCCCUUUUCCGCAGAAGCGAAUUCCUUGGACUUAAGUGAAGUCCGUACCUGCGAUGAGUUUUCCGCAGGUGCGCAGCCGCAGAUGCGGCAGAAAGGUCACAAGUGCGAUUUAACCGGCAGAAAAAUGGGAAAUUUGAGGGUUAGUAUUCAUAAUUCAUUUUGGGAUUUUGGGAGCUCGGUGGGAGACGAAAUUUCGAGGGAUUUUCAGAAAGAACAUUAGGGUAAGAAUUGUUAAUUCGAUUUUGGUUAAAUUACUCGAGUUUAUCAUUGUUUUAUCAUGUAAUUAGGGAUUGGAGUUGGAAAAAUUGGGAAAAAGUGGUAGAACUUCUUAGACUAAGUUUUUGAGUUUUGAAAGACGAAUUGAGGCCGGAUUUGAAUAAUUCUUGUAUGGUUGGACUCGAUAUCAACUUGGUGUUCGAAUUUUAUAAUAUUGGUCGGGUUCCGAGAUGCGGGCCCAAGUUGAUGUUAUGGGUCGGUUUUUCAAUUCUUUGCAAAUAUCAUAAUUUCAUUGUUUGAAUUAGUUUUCUAUAGUUAUAUUUAUAAUAUGAAAUUAUUUUGUAUUGAUUCAAGCCGUUCGGAGUUGGAAUAUCGAGAAAAAUGCCUUCUAGUGAAUUUAUUUAGCAUGAUUUGACGUAAAUGGUUUGUCUAACUUUGUGUGGGGGAGAUACCCCUUAGGAUUGAUGUUACUUGUGAUAAUUGUGAUGUGUAAGAGCCGUGUAUGCAAGAUGACGAGUGUGUACACAAACUAAAUGUGGAAAUUACCAGUUUUUAGCUAUGUAAAUUUCUUUCAUGUGUUAAUUGAGUUACUUUAACAUGUUAUAGUCUUCAUUUUUAGUCUAAUUUCACAUGUCUACUUGUCUUAUCUCUUACUUGUAAUUUCUCUACAUGUUUAGUCGAAAUUUUUGUUUCUUUUAUUCCGUAUUCAUUAUUUAACUAUGAAAUUCUUUAUUGAAAUUAUUAUUUCUUGGAAUAUCUUGUUGUUGAAAUUGGUAUUGAGUUGCAAGGGCUAUGAUUCUAUUUAGGCAAAGUGUUAAGUUGUUUAAUAUCAUGCUAUUGAGUUAUUCUUCAGGUUGUUACGUGGGCUCCUUGUUGUGAAAUUCUGUUAUUGUUUGGUUUCUUGCACAUUGUGAUACUGGGCACUUGAAGUGCGAUUUGUGAUAAGUUGGGAUAUUGAUAUGCAUGCGGUGGUAUAAGGUUUGGGUGUUGAAACGCAUGCGGCAAGAUAAGGUGUGCUUGAUACACUCACUACAACAAAAAAGCUUUUUAGCGACAAUAGAUAUGCAUUUUAGCAGCAAUUGUUAUUGUCGUAAAAACUUUUAGCGGCAAUUGAUCAUUAACCGUUGUAUCCAGCGUCGCUAAAGGUUUUAGCGGAAAAUAGACUGAGUGCUGGUAAAUGUCCCAUUUAUUGCCGCUAAAAGAUCUGACAUUUAGUGGCAUUUAUAUACUAGCAAUUACAAGAGCCACUAUAAUUAUCCCAUAACCUAAGUUGCUCGGACUCGGGUGUGGGUAUUCGAUACGGGGACGAAUCCUAGUAUCGAAUUCGGCAAAAUCUAAAUUUUAUAAUUCGGGAGUGCGGAUCCAGAUAUGGAUACGGGUGCGGGAUUCGGCUAAUAAAAAAUAGAGCUAUAAAAAUAUUAUAAAUUUUGAGGGAUUUUCUGUGAAAAACUUACAUAAAUAUUGCACAAUUCAAUCUUUCAUUUCCCAAGAUGGACAUUAUUCUUUCAUUGUUCUAAAUCUGUUUUAUUUUUGAUUUUGAGAACUCAAAAUCUCAGUUUUUCUACCAAAGUUGUCGAUGGACUCCGGUCAAAGUGUCCGAAGUCAGUUGACUAUAUCCAGGACGUAUCCAGUCCUCGUAUUCGUAUCUAUCCCGUAUCAGGAUGGGAACAGCACCAAAAUCGAAGAGUCCGCGCAACUUAGUCCAUAACUAGCCUUCUAUUUGGUCUUAGCAGCAUCUGUUAUGGUCGGUAAAUAUUAAUUUUUUUGCCGUUAAAGAAAAUCUUUUAAUGACCUUUCUUAUUGCCGGUAAAACUAUGCAUAAAUUGUCAAAUGCUAAUCGUCGGGAAACUAUAAGCCUUUUCGACAUAAAGGUAAUAACAAAAACUGCACAUAUAUAAUAACAUAAAUGUAUAUAAUAAAAUAUGCAAAUAUUUAUUCUAGGAAGAAUAAGGUGUUUCACUAAAUUCAUAAUAUACAGAGAUAAUUACAAGUUCAUACUUUAGAGUUUCAGCAAAAAAAAAUAAAAAAAUACACCAUUUGAAUCCAACAAUAGUUUUUUCUCCUCCUGACAAAUCUAGUUCUUUCUGUGUCAAUUUCUGCGUCCAAGGAUAUCAUAAUUAGAUGAGUUAGAACAAAGCAUCUUCAUUGACUGUAGAAAGUCAGUUCUUGUUGACUCCAGCAAGUUUCAUCCAUUGGAUACUAGUUCUGCAGCCAUGUAAUUUGUGGAUUGUAGAUUUAAAUUGAACUGCAGAACAAAAGUUUUUUUUUUGUCAAAAUAAACUUUUUUAUUCAACCAAGUAAAGAUUUAUACACAGCUAACUCUUUUGGACCCAAGAGUUAGUUCUCUAGGAAAAUUAAAACUACGCUAUAAUCUAUCUAUGCUGGGUAAUAAUUUAACCUAUCUAGUAUACUCUUCCAUUUUGCAAUUGCUCUGUCCUUUAAUAUGUAACUGUAUUACAAUUUCCUUCACUCUCUGUCUAGCCUCUUGCUUCCUUUGUUGAAAUCUUCUUGCAUUUCUCUCUGCCCAGACAUGAUAGACAGUUGUUGCAAAGAGAAAUCAUAGAAUAUGAGUCCUUGGUCGAUUGUUCCUUUUAAUUCUGCAGCCAUGUAAUUUGUGGAUUAUAGAUUUAAAUUAAAACUGCAGAAUAAAGUUGCAUAAAACUUAGGCAUAUACUCAUGAAAUGGGAUUAGUUUAUCUAUAGUUGUAAUGUAAAAAAUGAAGGAUAAAAUGAACCUUGAUUCUUUAGUCAAAUUCUCAUUUCUAGCUCUUUGCUCACAUGCUAGUUCCUAACUUCCUGUUAGUAAGUAAAACACACAUUCAGACAAGUAAACUUGGAUUUGGUUUUUGGAAAAUACUAGACAAACAUAUAAAACCAUUUGAAACCUUUCCAGUUCAAAUGUACCCUUCUCCUCAGUAAUAAGUUUUUUUUCUCCUCAAGUUCAGUGAAUUUCUACUAAAAAUGGCUGUAAAUCUUUUGUUCUUGCAAGUUUGCUUGUAGAGUUGCAACGCAGAAUACUUACUGCUAGUUGUGAAAGCAAUAUUUUCACCUACUUAACCAUGCUCGAUCCAACUACAAGUAUAAAUGAAAAAGAUGAAUGUUUGAACAUCUUAUUAAUACAAUAGAAUUCACAUUUGUCUUUAAUGGUGAAAAAUAAGCUUAGCUACUUAUGGAGAUCACAAAUAUUAAAAGUUCAUUUAAUUCUUGCCAUAUACAUUAGAUGCAGUUCUACUUUUCAUCUGUAGAUCACCUCCCCAGCUCGUCUAAUUUUAAGAACCAUCAAUACUCCAUUUCUUAUUCUAAUAAACUUGAAUUAGAUAUUUCUAAUCAAAAAAUGCCGGAGCAAUAAAUUUAUGUAAUUUAAGUCAAAACUAGAUAAUACAUUGGCCCUAGAAGAACAGAGAAUACAUAUCCAAUAUUCUUCAUUUUUUUACUAAACAUGUUAUUUUAGAAUCUUUAAACUAGUUUAAAUAUCCUCCACAUAAUAUCUUCAUUUUCAAAUAAAACAUUGAUAACGAGUAACAUCACAACUUAGAAGCCUCAUUAGCUCAGAAAUACUUCUAUUGUUCUUCGAAGUUUAACAUUUGAAACGACUCUAAUUUAACCCAUGAUGAAAAACAUUAAAGAUUUUCAACCUACGAAUGUCUAAAAUUGAUUUAUCAUCUUUUAACAAUUGAAAAUACUACUUGUAAAAUACCAUAUAUAAGUCAUUAUUGUCCAAGCGACAAUAUUUCUAUAUGACAUUUUAUCAAACACUUCAUAGGCUUCUUAAGUUAGUUCUAUAGGAGCAAACACCAAAAGUAAUAUUGUCUAAACAAAUGAAUUCAAAUCAAACUAGAUCACUAGCAAUUCAGUAAAAACAAACGAAUAAGAAAUAAACUCAUACUCCUCUUAUUACAAAAUGAGCAUCAAACAAAUGCCAAACUAAAAAAACCAAAACCAAAUUAUAAACAAUUAUUUACUGUACUUAGCUACCUACCUUCUCCGAUGGGGAAAAAAAUCCAUAAUAUACCUGCAGUAUUCUAACACUCGUACAUGAACUAACCCAUGAGCCAAAAUAAAUCUUCUGCUAGCAUUGAUAGCCUCAUAAUCCCAAGUUUUAUUCAUGCCAAAAUGGAAUAAAGAAAAAUAAUCAACAAUUACCAAAUCUUAUAAGAAUGUGAAUAGCAAAUGACAAAAAAAUAUUGAUUGUGAAAGUACCAUAGAGGUAGCCGGCAGUGACGAAGAUGUAGGUGGUAAGGCAAAGAGUUCUGAUCUACAACCGGUUAUUCGAGAUUUGCCAAUGUUAUAAUGUUUGUGUUCAUCCUUUUCUUCCCCUUUGGUUGUAGUCUGUAGAUAUGGGCUAACGAGAUUCUGAAAUAAUUUUGAUGGACGAAAAUAAGAGAAAUAAGAACAGUAAAUAAAAAACAAGCCAAGGGCGGGAGGAUUAAAAGAAGAGAGGGAAAUGAAAAAGUAUAGGGUUUCCUCUGGAGGGAAGGUUAAAAAUAAAAUAUAGGCUCUUUAGUGACUAAUUCGUUUAAUUGCCAGUAAAAUGAAACUUUUUACCGGCUAAUAUAUAUUUACCCUAACAUUCUAGUUUAGGAAUUAAAUUAGUUGCAAUUAUCUUACUGUCACUAAUUAAUUACUGCUAAAUAAUUUUUUUGUGGUAGUGCACGUGGAUAGUAGGGGAACUACUAGAAACCAUGUGGUGUGAUAAGGUGGGCUAAAACACACGAUGCUAUUUCGGGAAAAAUAAUUUUCAAAACUAAAUGUAAAGGCUCACGCUAUGAUAUAAGAAAAGAUUUUGAUUUAUUUUGUGAUUUGAGACUACGAGGCGGUACCUCGGUAGUGACUCUUGUUGACAUUUCCUCAUUCCUUUGUACUUGUCUUGAUCGUUGUUUCCUUAGCAUAUUAUUAAUGUCUUGCUCUGUGUUGUAAUAUUUGCUUAGUUCUGUGUAGCUAAUGUUGUUAUGUUAUUCAUUGUUUAAUUUUCAUUACUGUGUUAUUGCACUGUCUACAUUGUUCAGUCUUUUAUUUAUUUUCAGUAGGGUCCUAACUUGGCCUCGUCACUACUCUACCAAGGUUAGACUUGACACUUACUGGGUACCGUUGUGAUGUACUCAUGCUAUUAUUCUGCAUAUAUUUUUGUGUUGAUCCAGGUGCUUCCUACCAGCUCAGGCGUUAGUUGGGAUUCUAUUGCGGAGACUUCAAGGUAUACAUGUCGGCGUUCGCAGGUCUUAGAGUCCUCCUCUCUGUAGGUCUCUUAUUUUGUCAUCCUUAUUAUAUAGUCAUGAUAUAUAGAAUUAUAUAGUACUCAUAUUUAGAACUUAUGACUUGUAUUUUCAUCGGGUCUCGGGAUUUGUGUAUGCUGAGUUGAAGCGUUGUUUUAUAUAUAGUUGUUGAGUUUGAGAGGAUUAUUUACUAUUAUUUCAAUUAUUUUGCAUGCUGUUAGGCUUACCUAGUCUGAGAGACUAGGUGCCGUCACGACAUCCUACGAAUGAAAUUUGGGGUCGUGACAUUUACCUUUCGUAUAAGGAAGUUGAUUACCGUUUCUCUCUUGUUGAAUUCAGGUCUACCCCAGGGAUUAGUUGUCGUCCUUGAGGAGGACAUUUUGAAUAAUCAUGCUGACGUGGCGAGGCUGAAGGAGGAUUUUACCCGAACAUGUGUCUCUGAGCCUGCUUCUAGUGCAAGUGCUUUUUCUCGGAGUCCUCGGCCGGAGAACAAUCGACCAAAAAGAAGACGUUCUUCCGCGGCCGGGGAAAAAAUAAAAAGGCAAAGAGUGCCUCAUCUGAGUCGUCCAUAGACACCAUAGUGAUCGACAAUGAUGGAGAAGCCAACGAGGAUGAGGAUUCUCUACAUAGAAGAUGACGACCUUCCUCGGCUCAACAUGCUCAACCUGUUGAGUUAGUUACCCCAAUCGAGGAUGAUGCCUCGGCACUCUGGGGAGUAUUAUAUGGUGAAAAAUGCCAACUCCCGUUUUCGAAUCCUAAUCGUUGUGCCUGGUACCGCGAGGCUAGUACCGGGUCCCUACCGUCUUCAGUUGAUGAGAAUCCAACAAUCAGCAUUGCAUUUACCACAGCUGCUUCGCCAUCAGCUUUAUCUCCUUCUUCUCCAACUCUGCCUUCGCCACCAACAACUACUACAUCAUCUCCACCUGUAACGAUCCGGCCGGUCGUUUCAUGAAUUACCGCUCCAUUUCCCCCUUUUUUACUUCUUUAUGCUUGUUUCGUCUGUGUUAUAUGGUAUCGGGUUGGUCGGUUCAAAUUCGGAAUGAUUUUGGAAAGGUUUGAGACACUUAGUCUCUUUUGAGUAAGCUUAAGUUGGAAAAGUCAAUCAGAUGUUGACUUAUGUGAAAAAGGUCUCAAAUGUGAAUUUUGAUGGUUCGGAUAGCUUCAUGAGGUGAUUUGGGACUUAUGAGCGUGAUCGGAAUGUGUUUUGGAGGUCCAUAGCAGAUUUAGGCUUGAAUUGGCGAAAUUGGAAUUUUGGCAUUUUUCCGGUUGGUAAUGAAGAUUUUGAUAUAGGGGUCAGAACGUGAUUCCGGAAGUUGGAGUAGGUUCGUUGUGUCAUUUGUGACGUGUGCGCUAAAUUUCAGGUCAUUCAGAUGAGGUUUGAUAGACUUUUUGAUCAAAAGCGAAAUUUGGACGUUUUUGGAAACCUUAGGCUUGAAUCCGAUGUUAUUUUUUGAUUUGACGUUGUUUUAGGUGUUUCGAAGAUUGGUAUAAGUUUGGAUUGUGGUAUAUGACUUGUCCGUACUUUUGGUUGAGGUCCUAGGGAUGAUUUCGGGUGGUUGACGGGAAGUUUGGAGUUGGAAAUUUGCUGCUGAAGUUCCUGCCAUAACCGCACCUGCGACUUGGAGACCGCAGGUGCGGGCCCGUAAAAGCACAAGGAGGGUCGCAAAUGCGGCCAAGGUCGAGGAAGAUUGGAACCGUAGAUGCGGUGGUUCGAGCGCACCUGCGGCAGAUGCAGCUAAGGUCGUGGAGGUAAGGUUUUUGGACCCUAAACUUGUUUCUAUGAUGGUUUUAACUGUUUAAGCUUGAAAUCUAUGGAAAUUAGUAGCAAAAUUGGGGGUCUAGGGCUUGGAAAUUGGAGACCUUAACCUAGGGAUUUGAGGGGUCAAUUGUGGUCGGAUUUUGGUAUAUUUGCUACGCAUGGACUCGUGCGAGUGUAAGGAUUCCAGUUUUGUGAAUUUUAUCGGGAUCCGAGACGUGGGCCCGGGGGUCGGGUUUAGCCAAUUUCGAGAUUUUCUUUGGUGUUAAUUGGUUAUUUUGGAGUGGGAUUAUUCCCUUAGCAUAUUUUAAUGGUAUAAAUAUGUUUUUGGUUAGAUUUGGAGCAUUCGGAGGCCGAGUCGAGAGGCAAAGGCAUCGCGGGCUAGAAUUUGAACUUGAUAGAGGUAAGUAAUGAUUGUAAAUGCUGUCCUGAGGUUACGAAACCCCGGAUUUCACAUUGUUGUGCUACUUUGAGGUGAUGCACAUGCUAGAUGAUGAGCGUGGGGUCGUGCACCGUUAGGGAUUGUGACUUAGUCUGUCCCAUAUGAUUGUUAAGUCACGUAUUUGAUUAAAACUUAUUUGAUAUCAUCGUGUUUAGGAAAGUAUUAUUAUAUUUUGGGCUGAAUGCCAUAUUUGGGCCUCGUGCCAAUUGUUUUGGACCCUUAAGAGAUUUUUACUAAUAUUCCUCACUGUUUUGAUUUCAUAAAUUUUACUCAGUCAUGUUGUAUUCUACUAUUUUCAUAAACUCAGCCGUAUUUACUCCGUUUUGAUAUUCUAAAUGAUAUUUUGGGAUGAGCUUCAUGUUUUACUGUUUCUUGAGUGGCUUGAAAGGAUUCUGACUGAGUGAGGCCGGGGGCUUGAGUUGUGAGGAUUAUUAUAGGAUCGGGUUGUGCGCCGCAGCAUGUGUACUGGAUUAUGAUACAUGAGAGCCGAGGGCCUGAUUUGUUAUGCCACGAAAUGGCUUGUGAUAGCGCUUGGGCUGUAGGAGCCCCUCAAGGAGUCUGCACAGCCUCAGUGAGCGCAUGCACCCAGUGUGAGAUGUGAUAUUGCUUGAAGGGCUGUUGUUGUUUCAUGUUAUUGCCCGAGGGGCUGAUACGAGUGAUUGUGAGAUGGCCCGAAAGGCUGGUUCUGUUGAUAUUUUGCCCGAGGGGCAGUUGUGGUAUAUGUUUUGCCCGAGGGGUUGUUAACAUUUCUAUUCUUUUCUCACAGUUUUCAUCACUCGCUUGAAACUAUUGAAAGUUGUUUUAAAAAAAGGUUUUACUGAACUGAGAUGUUUUUACGAGUGUUAUUGCUUUACUUGCAUUGUUUUGGACUUAUAUUGUUUUGUUGUAGCGUCAUGCUGUGGUUUACGUGUUUUCUUACUACUCAACUGUCUUUACUUUUAUUACUUACUGAUUUGGCGUACUCACAUUACUCCAUGCACCCUGUGUGCAGAUCCAGGAGUCUCGGGUCACGAUAGCGAGUGCUGAUUUGGCUUCCAACAGGCUUUCGGAGUUGACUAGGUAGCUGCUUAGCAUUCGCAGCCCAGUGCUUCUCCUUCCUAUCUUUAUUCAGCUUUAUAUUAGCUUUGUUUCAGACUAUGUUGUCUUUUCAUAUUCCUAGACGAGUUGUAGUUGCUCAUGAUUGGUGACAUCCCGAUGUCGGGCCGUGUUUUAUCUCUGCACUGUUCUAUUCUAUCUUACAUUUUGGGAUUUUAGCUUAUUAAUGACUUUAAAUGACUUAUUAUAAUUGUUUGGUUGGUUUUGGGGUUUGUGUCAGUUGGCAUAUUUUCACGAUAUGCGUCAUCACGAUCGGCUCCGUUUUAGGGUCGUGACAAGUUGGUAUCAGAGCCUAAGUUACAUAGGUCUCACGAGUCAUGAACAGGUUUAGUAGAGUCUUACGGAUCGGUACGGAGACGUCUGUACUUAUCCUUGGGAGGCUGCAGAACCUUUUAGGAAAAACUUCAUACUCUUUAAUUCCUGUCGUGCGAAUCUGUUGAUUCUAGUACUAAACUUCUUUUAUUCUACUGAUAUUGAGGACACGUGCUACCGGUCAGGAUGGACGCCCACCAGUACCACUAGUUGUGGCCACUAUAGACCGAAGAUGCGAUAUAGGCCAUGGUAGGGGUAGGGGUGUAGUCCACACAGCAGCUAGGGCAGCACUUGCAGAUCCACCAGCCACCCCAGUUCAUAAUCAGGUCCCAGUUGUGGACACUCCAACAACACCAGCUUACGCACCAGGUGUGCUUAUUGUAAUUCCAAGCCUUCAGGAAGCCCUGGCCCAUAUUCUAUCAGGUGCUACUUUUAAGGAGGUUGUUGAUAUUGCUUGUAAGAUUGAGUCAGUUCGUAGCCAAGAGCGGGAUGAGAGGAAGGCCAAGAGGCCUCGGGGAUCUGGUAGUUUCGGUGGUGCUCCUUCGAGAGGUCACUUUUAGCACGGCAGAGUCCACCUAUUCAGGCAUGCUCAGUCAGCCCGUCCAGGUUAUCGUAGGGCAUCAUUGGAGCNNNNNNNNNNNNNNNNNNNNNNNNNNNNNNNNNNNNNNNNNNNNNNNNNNNNNNNNNNNNNNNNNNNNNNNNNNNNNNNNNNNNNNNNNNNNNNNNNNNNNNNNNNNNNNNNNNNNNNNNNNNNNNNNNNNNNNNNNNNNNNNNNNNNNNNNNNNNNNNNNNNNNNNNNNNNNNNNNNNNNNNNNNNNNNNNNNNNNNNNNNNNNNNNNNNNNNNNNNNNNNNNNNNNNNNNNNNNNNNNNNNNNNNNNNNNNNNNNNNNNNNNNNNNNNNNNNNNNNNNNNNNNNNNNNNNNNNNNNNNNNNNNNNNNNNNNNNNNNNNNNNNNNNNNNNNNNNNNNNNNNNNNNNNNNNNNNNNNNNNNNNNNNNNNNNNNNNNNNNNNNNNNNNNNNNNNNNNNNNNNNNNNNNNNNNNNNNNNNNNNNNNNNNNNNNNNNNNNNNNNNNNNNNNNNNNNNNNNNNNNNNNNNNNNNNNNNNNNNNNNNNNNNNNNNNNNNNNNNNNNNNNNNNNNNNNNNNNNNNNNNNNNNNNNNNNNNNNNNNNNNNNNNNNNNNNNNNNNNNNNNNNNNNNNNNNNNNNNNNNNNNNNNNNNNNNNNNNNNNNNNNNNNNNNNNNNNNNNNNNNNNNNNNNNNNNNNNNNNNNNNNNNNNNNNNNNNNNNNNNNNNNNNNNNNNNNNNNNNNNNNNNNNNNNNNNNNNNNNNNNNNNNNNNNNNNNNNNNNNNNNNNNNNNNNNNNNNNNNNNNNNNNNNNNNNNNNNNNNNNNNNNNNNNNNNNNNNNNNNNNNNNNNNNNNNNNNNNNNNNNNNNNNNNNNNNNNNNNNNNNNNNAAGGCCAAGAGGCCUCGGGGAUCUGGUAGUUUCGGUGGUGCUCCUUCGAGAGGUCACUUUUAGCACGGCAGAGUCCACCUAUUCAGGCAUGCUCAGUCAGCCCGUCCAGGUUAUCGUAGGGCAUCAUUGGAGCAUGGUUCUCACAGUUCUCAUCAGGGUCAUUCAUCACUUAGUGCCCUUCUAGCCCAGAGUUCGUCUCGUGCUCCAUCAGUUUAGGGCUCUUCUAUGCCAGGGGCAUUUGCUAGUCACUCUGGUGCUAGGUGUUCCCUUCAGUCCCCGUCUCUAGCAGCAGGGAGUUGUUAUGAGUGUGGAGAGUUGGGAUACAUGUGGAGGCAGUGUCCUCGUCGUCUUGGAGGUUCAUCCCAGCAGAAGAGUCAACCAUCAACUUCAACACCAGUUACUUCACCACCUACCCACCCAGCUAGGGGUGAAGGACAGUCAGCUAGGGGUCGCCCCAGAGGGGGAGGUUGAUUAGGUAGUGGUCAGGCCCCUUUUUACGCACUCAUCGCUAGACCUGAUGUUAUUGCUUCAAAUGUUGUGAUUACAGGUAUUGUCUCAGUCUGCCACAGAUAUGCCUCUGUAUUAUUUGAUCCCGGUUCCACUUUUCCAUAUGUGUCAUAUUAUUUUGCUCGUUAUUUGGAUACGCUCUGUGAGUCUCUUGUUUUAUCUGUUCGUGUAACUACGCUGGUAGGUGAUACUAUUAUUGUGGACCGUGUGUACCGAUCGUGUGUGGUGACUAUUGGUGGUUUGGAGACCUGAGUAGACCUUUUGUUGUUGUGUUUGGUGGACUUUGAUGUGAUAUUAAGCAUGGAUUGGCUAUAUUCGUGUCGUGCUAUAUUGGACUGUCAUGCUAAGAUAGUAACGUUGGCUAUGUCGGGUGUGCCACGGAUUGAGUGGCGAGGUUCGACUGAUUUUGUUCCCAGUAGGGUCAUUUCAUUUCUGAAGGCCCAGCGGAUGGUUAGGAAAGGUUGUCUUUCAUACUUAGACUUUGUGAGGGAUGUCAGUGUAGAGACUCCCAGUAUUGAUUCUGUUCCUAUAGUGAGGGAUUUUCCCGAUGUGUUUCCUGUAGACCUGUAGGGCAUGCCCCCAGAUAGGGAUAUUGAUUUUGGUAUUGACCUGGUGCCGAGCACUUAGCCCAUUUCUAUUUCAUCGUAUCGUAUGGCACUAGUAGAGUUGAAGGAGCAGCUUCAAGAACUCCUUGAUAAGGGGUUCAUUCGGCCUAGUGUGUCGCCAUGGGGUGCGCCUGUUCUAUUUGUGAAGAAAAAGGAUGGCACGAUGAGGAUGUGCAUUAAUUACAGGCAGCCGAACAAAGUAACAAUCAAGAACAAUUAUCCUUUACCUCGUAUCGAUGAUUUAUUUGACCAGCUUUAGGGAGAGAGAGUGUUCUCCAAGAUUGAUCUUCGUUCAGGUUAUCACCAGUUGAAGAUUAGGGACUCAAAAAUUCUUAAGAUAGCUUUCAGGACCCGAUAUGGUCAUUAUGAGUUCCUGGUGAUGUCUUUUGUGGGCUGACCAAUACCCUAAUAUCGUUCAUGCAUUUGAUGAACAACGUGUUUCGGCUUUAUCUCGACUCGUUCGUGAUUGUUUCAUUGAUGAUAUUUUGGUGUACUCGCGUAGUCACGAGGAGCAUGCGGAGCAUUUGAGAGUUGUGUUGCAGAGAUUGAGGGAGGAGAAACUUUAUGCACAGUUCUCCAAGUGUGAGUUUUGGCUCAGUUCAUUGGCAUUCUUGGGACAUGUGGUGUCUAGUAAGGGUAUUCAGGUUGAUCCAAAGAAGAUAGAGGCGGUUCAGAGUUGGCCCAGACCGUCCUCAGCCAUAGAGAUUCGCAGCUUCCUCAAUUUGGCAGGUUACUACCGUCGGUUCAUUCAGAGAUUUUCAUCUAUAGCAUCACCCUUGACCAAGUUGACUCAGAAGGGUACUCCAUUCUAGUGAUCGGAUGAGUGUGAGGCAAGCUUUCAGAAACUUAAGACUGCCUUGACCACAACUCCAGUGUUAGUUUUGCUAUCAGCUUCAGGUUCAUAUACCGUGUAUUAUGAUGCUUCGAGAGUUGGUAUUGGGUGUGUGUUAAUGUAGGAGGGUAGAGUUAUUGCUUAUGCUUCUCGUCAGUUGAAGCCCUAUGAGAAGAACUACCAUGUUCAUGAUUUGGAGUUGGCUGCCAUUGUUCACGCAUUGAAGAUUUGGAGGCAUUAUCUUUAUGGUGUAUCUUGUGAGGUGUUUACUGAUCAUCAUAGCCUCCAGCACUUGUUCAAACAGAAGGAUCUCAAUUUGAGGCAGCAGAGAUGGUUGGAGCCGCUAAAGGAUUAUAAUAUUAUUAUCUUGUACUAUCCGGGGAAGGCCAAUGUAGUGGCUGAUACUUUGAGUAGGAAGGCGGUGAGUAUGGGGAGUUUGGAGUAUACUUCUGUUUGGGAGAGAUCUUUUGUAGUUGAUGUUUAGGCCUUGGCCAAUUUCGUGAGGUUGGAUAUUUUGGAGCCCAGUCGGGUAUUGGCUUGCGUGAUUUCUCAGUCUUCCUUAUUUGAUCGCAUCAGAGAGCGUCAGUAUGGUGAUCCUCAUUUGCUUGUCCUUAAAGACAAAGUUCAGCACGACGAUGCCAGAGAUGUGACUAUUGGUGAUGAUAGGGUAUUGAGGAUGCAGGGCCGGAUAUGCGUGCCAAAUGUAGAUGGGCUUUGGGAGUUGAUUUUGGAGGAGGCCCAUAGCUCACGGUAUUCCAUUCAUCCGGGUGCCGCAAGAUGUAUCAGGAUCUGAGGCAGCAUUAUUAGUGGAGGAGCAUUAAGAAGGACAUUGUGUGAUUUGUAGCUCGGUGUCUCAAUUGUCAGUAGGUGAAAUAUGAGCAUCAGAGACCGGGUGACUUGCUUCAGCAGAUGGAUAUUCCAGAGUGGAAGUGGGAGCGGAUCACCAUGGACUUCGUAGUUGGGCUCCACGGACUUUGAAGAAGUUCGAUGCUAUUUGAGUGAUUGUGGAUCGACUGACCAAGUCCACGCACUUCAUUCCUGUGUGUACUACCUAUUCUUCAGAGCGGUUGGCAGAUAUCUAUAUCCGAGAGAUUGUUCGUUGGCAUGGUGUCCCAGUUUCCAUCAUAUCAGAUGGGGGUACUCAGUUUACUUUGCAGUUUUGGAGAGUCGUGUAUAGAGAGUUGGGUACUCAGGUUGAGUUGAGCACAACUUUUCACCCUCAGAAGGACGGGCAGUCCGAGCGCACUAUUCAGAUAUUGGAGGACAUGUUACGCGCUUGUGUCAUUGAUUUUGGAGGGUCAUGUGAUUAGUUUCUACCGCUCGCGGAGUUUGCCUAUAACAAUAGUUAUCAGUCGAGUAUUCAGAUGGCUCCAUAUGAGGCUUUAUAUGGGAGGCGGUGCAGAUCUCCAGUUGGUUGGUUUGAGCCCGGCGAGGCUAGGCUUUUGGGUACAGACUUGGUGCAAGAUGCUUUGGACAAGGUGAAGGUGAUUCAGGAGCGGCUUCAUACAACACAGUCGAGACAAAAGAGUUAUGAUGUCAAAAAGGUUUGGGAUGUGUCCUACAUGGUUGGGGAGAAGGUUCUACUGAAGGUUUCACCCAUGAAGGGUAUUAUGAGAUUUGGGAAGAAGGGUAAAUUGAGCCCUCGGUUCAUUGAGCUUUUUGAGGUGCUUCGGAGGAUUGGGAGGUGGCUUAUAAACUUGCUUUGCCACCCAGAUUGUCGAGUGUGCAUCCGAUAUUUCAUGUUUCUAUGCUCCAGAAUUAUAUUGGAGAUCCAUCUCAUGUUUUGGAUUUCAUCACGGUUCAGUUAGAUGGUGAUCUGACCUAUGAUAUAGAGCCAGUAACUAUUUUGGAGCGUUAGGUUUGAAAGUUGAGAUCAAAGGAUAUAACUUCAGUGAAAGUGCAGUGGAGANNNNNNNNNNNNNNNNNNNNNNNNNNNNNNNNNNNNNNNNNNNNNNNNNNNNNNNNNNNNNNNNNNNNNNNNNNNNNNNNNNNNNNNNNNNNNNNNNNNNNNNNNNNNNNNNNNNNNNNNNNNNNNNNNNNNNNNNNNNNNNNNNNNNNNNNNNNNNNNNNNNNNNNNNNNNNNNNNNNNNNNNNNNNNNNNNNNNNNNNNNNNNNNNNNNNNNNNNNNNNNNNNNNNNNNNNNNNNNNNNNNNNNNNNNNNNNNNNNNNNNNNNNNNNNNNNNNNNNNNNNNNNNNNNNNNUGGCCGGUCGUUUCAUGAAUUACUGCUUCGUUUUCCCCUUUUCUGCUUCUUUAUUCUUUGUUCAUCUGUGUUAUAUGGUAUUGGGUUGGUCGGUUCGAAUUCGGAAUGAUUUUGGAAAGGUUUAAGACAUUUAGUCUCUUUUGGGUAAGCUUAAGUUGGAAAAGUUAACCGGAUAUUGACUUAUGUGAAAAAUGUCUCAAAUGUGAAUUUCGAUGGUUUUGAUAGCUUCGUGAGGUGAUUUGGGACUUAGGAGCGUGAUCAGAAUGUGUUUUGGAGGUCCGUAGUAGAUUUAGGCUUGAAUUGGCGAAAUUGGAAUUUUGGUAUUUUUUCGGUUGGUAGCGGAGAUUUUGAUAUAGGGGUCGGAACAUGAUUCUGGAAGUUGGAGUUGGUCCGUUUUUUCAUUUGUGACGUGUGUGCUAAAUUUCAGGUCAUUCGGACGAGGUUUGAUAGACUUUUUGAUCAAAAGCGAAAUUUGGGUAUUUUUGGAAACCUUAGGCUUGAAUCCGAUGUUAUUUUGUUUAUUUGACAUUGUUUUAGGUGUUCUGAAGAUUGGUAUAAGUUUGGAUAGUGGUAUAUGACUUGUUCGUACUUUUAGUUUAGGUCGCGGGGGCCUCGGGAUAAUUUCGGGUGGUUGACGGGAAGUUUGGAGUUGGAAAUUUGCAGCUGAAGUUGCUGAAAUUCCUAUUAUAACCGCACUUGCGGCUUGGGGACCGUAGGUAGGGGCCCGCAGAAGCGCAAGGAGGGUCGCAAAUACGGCCAAGGUCGAGGAAGAUUGGAACUACAGAUGCGGUGGUUCGAGCGCACCUGCGGCAUCGCAGGUGCGGGAUUCUGAUCGUAGGUGCGAUUCUUGAGCGGAUAAGUGACUUUCGCAGAUGCGCACCUGGGAACGCAGGUGUGGGUCCGUAGGUGCAAGAUUUUGACUGCAUAAGCGGUUUAGCUGGGGCAGAACAUAUAAAUUAAGUCCUUUGCAAAUGUUUGGUUAUUCCACCAUUUUCACAUACGGGUUUGAGCUUGGGAGAGCAAAUUGAAGAGGGAAUUCAAGAGAGUUUCGUGGAGGUAAGGUUUUUGGACCCUAAACUUGUUUCUAUGAUAGUUUUAACUGUUUAAGCUUGAAAUCUUUGGAAGUUAGUAGCAAAAUUGGGGGUCUAGGGCUUGGAAAUUGGAGACCUUAACCUAGGGAUUUGAGGGGUCAAUUGUGGUCGGAUUUUGGUAUAUUUGGUAUGCAUGAACUCGUGAGAGUGUAAGGAUUCCAAUUUUGUGAAUUUUAUCGGGAUCUGAGACGUGGGCCCAGGGGUCGGGUUUUUAUUUAAGAUCUAUACUGAGUCAUGUUGUAUUUACUGAUUUCAUAACUUAGUCUUUAUUACUCCAUUUUGAUGCAUAAAAUAAUAUUUUGGGCUAAGCACCCUGUUUUACUGAUAGCCCAAGUGACUAGAUAGGUUUCUAACUGAGUGAGGCCGAGGUCCUUUGUUGUGAGGAUAUUAUGGGAUCGGGAUGCACGUCGCAGAAUGUUGUUAUUGAUUCAUGAUUUUUAUGAGGCCGUGUGUUAGACCCCAUAUUUUCUUAAAUGAAAAUACACCAUAAAUAAAUUAAUUAAUGAGAGCUCGGAAGUGAGAUAUUACGUCCCGCAUUUUGUACGUUGAUGUUUCGUCGUAAGUUAAUCAGCGUAAGCUCGGAAAUGAGAUUAGUUUGGAAUUAUAAGUAUUAUGCUAUUUCAAACAAGGAAUAAGUAAAUUAGUGAAGGUGAAAGGGUAAGCGAAUCGAAGGAAAUGAGUUUCGUUGAAGUUUGACAUUCUGGGAUAAAAACGGUCCGAGCUAUAAUACUCGGUAUUUAUGGACUAGUACCAUAUAAGGUACCACACGACCAUAAUAGUAAGGUGUAUAAGGUAUGUAAAAAGUAAGUAAUAUUUUAAGUAAGUGGAAAUAAUUCUCAAUUUUGCGGAUAAUUAAUUAAUUACCGGGUAACGGAACACUACCUAAUUACUUAAUAAGUAGAUAAAGAUUAAAACACCCCACCCCUACCCCCACGUGGAAGCCCCCCAAUUCUUACACUGUGACUCAUGCCUUCAUUAAAUUAUGUGGCUUGAUGUGGUAAGUAAUGUUUUCUUUUGGCGGCUGAGUUGUGCCAAGUUAGGCAUUAAUUAGUUGGUAUUUAAAAUUACUAGUUUGACUUAUUCCGGUGCAUGUGGAGAGAAUAGCACUCUUUAAAGUUUUUAUAAAGCUCUAAUCAAGAUUCUUGUGUUAAAAAUGAAUCAAUCCCAAAUCCUACCAUACUCAAGGCUAACGAAUCCUAGGAAUAUUAAUGUCAAGCUAGGAGUUUUUCCUAUUGAAUUAUUUCAUACUAAUCUGUAUGAAGAUCUCAAGAGUGUAGAUGGAAUAACCAUGUAUCAUAUGUGAUGUACACAUAUCCAAAUUUCGUGAGAUCAAUAUCGUAAUGGAAUAAAUCUUUAUGGGAGGAACGUGACAAUUUGGGUUGGAAUUCACUGCACUGUGUUGUCUAUCUAGGAUUGAAAGAAGUAGUUUCUGAUAUGCUGGGGCGAAAUAAAUCCUGAAGCCUGCAUUUCAGCAUGCAGUGAAAAUCACUGGACAACAACAAUUUACAUUGUAGCCAGUGAAGGUGAUGUAAGUAUGAUAAACGAGAUUUCAAAGCACUCCACUUUGUCAAUGUAGCGUGAGAUUUUUGCAAAUUUUAAGGAGUACGGUGUAAUCUUUCUUAAGAGAAUUGGCUCAGGUAUGUUAAGGUUAUCUCUUCUUUCUUUUGGCAUGAUUCAUACGAUACAAAUGAAACAUGCAAAUGCAAAAAUUCCAUAAAUGACUCUAUUCAUAGAAGUAUUAGAGAUAUCUAUAUUCUUGAAUUUCCAUGUGUCAUAAUAUUUUAUCAUCUGUUCACCGGCCUCAGAAAAAUAUAAAAGUUGAAAAGAGUUUACUUUAUGAUAGUACUCAAAAGCAAAAUGGUCUUGUGAAGCUCCGAAAGAUUUUAUUAACGUAUUUUUCAUGCAUUGCAUACAUAUGCAUUGACCCAUGACCAGAUGACGUUAUAUACGCGUAUAUAUGUAAAUAUAUGUAUAUGGGAUAUGGGAAAAGAUUACGGCGUUAUAUAUGCACCACCACCUGAUCAGCUGGUAUAUGAUAAUGAUGUUGCCCACAAUGGAUGAAAUAUGACUCAAACGGUGUUAUAUACACGUAUAUAUGUAUCUAUAUAUAUGUAUAUGGGAUAUGAGAAAGGUUAUGGCAUUAUAUACGCAUCACCACCUGAUCGGCUGGUAUAUGAUGAUGAUGUUGCCCGCAGUGGCUAAGAUAUGAUUCAAAUGGCAUUAUAUACGCAUAUAUAUGUAUGCAUAUAUAUGUAUAUGGGAUAUGGGAAAGGUUAUGGCGUUAUAUACGCACAACCACCUGAUCAACUGGUAUACAAUGAUGAUUUUGCCCAUAGUGGCUGAUAUGAUAUGAUGGGAUGCCCUCAGAGGCUGAUGAUGUUAUGAAACAUGUACCUAUGCACGACAUGACAUCCAUACGCAUAUGCAUGACGCUAAAACUAAUUUAUGAUUUACAAAGUUAUUCAGACUUACAGGUUGAGUCAUGUACUCUAUAUUUAUUACAUGUCUCGUAUGUAUUUAUUUAUGUGCCUAACAUACUCGGUACAUUAUUCGUACUGACAUCCCUUUUGCCUGGGGAUGCUGCGUUUCAUGCCCACAAGUCCCGAUAGACAGGUCGAGAGCCCUCCAAGUAGGCUAUCAGUUCAGCGGAAGAUGUUGCUAUGCUCCAUUUGCUUCGGAGUUGCUCAUUUGGUUAGUAUGAUUUAGACGUGUAUUAUUUGGUAUGGCGGGACUCUGUCCCGACCUUUAUAACAUUGUGUACUUUUAGAGGCUUGUAGACAUAUGUCGUGUACAUAAAAGAUUGUACGGCCUUAUUGGCCUAUGUUUUGAGUUUAUAAACGAUCAUGUUGGCCUAUUAAGCCCGUAUGUCAUGUUUAUAUGAUGAUGUAAUAAGAAAGAUACAUUAUGUUGGUACUCGAUUGAGUAAGGUAUCGGGUGCCCGUCGCGGCCCAUGGGUUGGGGUCGUGACAAAAGUGGUAUUAGAGUAGUUCUGUUCUAGGGAGUCUACAAGUCGUGUCUAGUAGAGUUUUUUAUGGGUGUGUCGUGCACCACACUUAUAAGCAUGAGGCUACAGGGCAUUUAAGACUGUCAAUCUUUCUUCUUACUCUAGAUCGUGUGGUAGAGCACACUUAUAUGAAUUCAAGUCCCAAACUUCUAUUUUUGUUCGUAAUAAGAUGACGCCUACGUUCAGAAAGAUGAUCGAUAAGAGAUAUAGUUGUGGAAGUGUUGAAUUAGAGUAACUCUACUUUGAAUCAUGCUUAUGAUAAGUAAAUGUGAGAUCUUCAGCAGAUCAUGUGCGUACUGAAAGGUGUAAGCUUCUUGAUAAGGAGCCUUAAGGAGAGAAUGCCUGUCCACCUUUAUGGUGAAAGACAAUGAGAGAUUAAGAAGAUAAAUACAAGUUUCAACAAGAAAAAUAAGCAAGAUGAAGAAGGGUACGAGGCGCCUAGUUAACAAAGGUUAACAAUGUUUAUAACUCAGGCAGAGGAACAUAAGCUUUUUGAGUUAUAUUCAAUAGUAACAGGGGUAUAUACAAUUGGUCACACCUAUUCCAGAUAUGCCCUAUAGGGUUUAAUAGAAGUAGUAUAAGAAGAUAUGAUGGGUGAAUUGUUUGUGUCAGUUGACAUUUCUGAAAGAUAUUGCAAAUGUGUUAAUAGAUCUCCUUGUGAGACACCCAGAAGGUACACUUUAAAAUAGUGCAGCCAGAUAUGAGUACUACAAAGACAUGCACUAUAAGCCUUGAAGGGAUACAUAUUACCUUAGUGUGGCCUGCGUCCCUAGUAAAGCGAGAACGUUAAGCAACUUAGAGAGCCACUGGAUGGAGCAAAGGGAAGCUAAAAGAAAAAGAAUGUCUUGUUCGAGUUUGCAGAAUAAAGUGAUAGGCAUAAAUGUUGGCGGGAAAUAAGAAAAGAGUUAACAAACCAUUAUGAGUAAGAUGUGAUACAUGGAUGACAAUGGUAGAUGAAAAGAUGUCAAUAUUACAAAAUCUAUAGUCAAGUGAAUGAAGAAACGAGAAGUGACAGGCCUUAGGACAACAAAAGAGUAUAGGCCAUACAAUCAUGUCCUCAUUUCGAGAAAUAAGUUCGCAACUCUAGCGUGGUUACCAAGAGGAAAAGUUAGACCCCAGAGUAAUAGAACCAGUAUAAAUUGGUGAACAAGAUAAACUAAACAUGAAUUAGGGACUGAGUGACUGAUAAUAGUCGCCAUCAUAAGAAUUUCAGAUUUUGUUCUGCCAAUAAUAAAAUGGAUGACAAAAGAAUAUUCAUGAGAAAUUCAGAGAAUGGUCAUUUAGAAAAACGCUUCCCUACAGCAAGCAAUGUGAGCAAAUUUCAGCUUAAGGGAUUGUAUGUGCCAGUUAUACUAAGUUCAACCCUCGUGAGUAAGCAAUUUUUCUAUCCUUGGUAUGGAAGGAUUACCGUAAGGCGAGUAAGGGUCAUCGAUGAUGUGAAAGGAUGCCAAAGAUGAAAAGGUGAAACAUCUAUAGGCAGGUCGUCAUAGCUCCCAUUCUUAGUACUCCCCUAAAGGGGGGAAUAUGGCAUGAUAAAAGGAAGAAUGCGAUAAAAAUGAGAAAGGGAUGAGAUUGCACUUAUCCAAAUGCUAUAGAUAUGCUAUGAUUCCAGAACGUUAUACAAACGUGACGUCAAGGAGAAGAACUACGGGUUAUUUCCCAAGAUGUUAUUGAUAAUUAAGGAUCCAGUGUGAGACAUAAGUUAAGACUAAGGAAAUAACCCAAGAAAGAUUACGAGAAAUAUUGAUAUGAGAAUGAGCCAAUGAGUAGUUAGUGGUCAGGAAGAUCCCAGUUAUGGCCAAAUAGGAGGUUAUAGACAAGUCAUCAAAUCCUGUAAGAUAAACAUAGUAUAACCCAACGUGAAAAAUUCAGCCUCAAAGAGUAUCAUUAUAAUACUUGAGAUAUAUUCAAACAAGAGUUGGGGUAGUUAAAGGUACCGUAUAAGUAUUAUGGGGAUAAAAGAAAGUGCCACUGGAAAGGCAGUCAAAAUAUUAGUUCAGAAGCAACCCUAUAAGAACAAGGGCGUGGAGAUAAGUAACUACGGAUAAGUAUAGGCAAGGAAGGACAUCAGAAGGUCUGUCGAGUAUACAAUGUAAUAAGCUCACAACUUUACAAGAUUCAGAGGGUCUUCCCUAAGUGCUACGAUGAAAGACUAGCUGAGAAAAUAAGGAAGAAGGCUUCAACCUCGGCACAAUGACCUAAAGAGGAAAUGGUCGUGGGACAAUAGUCUCAAAACAACAUUGUAUGCACUCCCUAAGAAAGUGGCACCUAUAGUGGCUAAUGGAUAGGGAGUAAAAUCAGAAGUGAUAUUCAAGAUCAUAUGAGUUGUAUGGAAUUUCAUAUAUGUGGGCACUAAGAUAAGCUAAGUAUGGAUGCAACAAGGGGGCAGAAAGAUCAGGAAAAGUAAUAGCUUACGUUUAAAGAAAGCUAAGAUGAAAAAAGGGAUUAUUCGAUCGAUGAUUCAGAGUUGGUUACGUUAUGAACGCACGUAAGGGUUCGGAGUUUUAUACAUACAACAUAUACAACCAUAGAAGAUUCUGGUAUAUAUUAAAAGAAAGAAAUGAGCCUAGGUCACAAACGAAGGAUUAAGCUGUUAAAGGAUUGUAUCAUGCAUAUCCCAUAAGUGCCAUGAAGGGCUAAAAGUAAUAACUAACACCAUGUGCUGCAGAUCAGAAGAUAGCUUAAAGCCGGUUAGAAAAUACUAGCCUCAUAAGAAUUCAGUAUGGAACUCCCAUCAGAUUGUAUAGGCACCAGAGGUGCAAGUAUUAUAAUAGAGUUUUAAAUUAUGGAUGUGAAUUCUACCUAUAUGGAAGGAAGGUCAUGAAGGAGAUAGAAGAUGUGAUACGAAACAUUAAAGUACGUAAGGUAAAGGUAAAUAACGUACGAGAUGCAGAAGAUUGUGAAUACUCCAUAGUUCAGGUAGAAAGCGCGUGGAUUCAGUAUCCAGGAUUAAUAGCUGCAUCAUCAGUAGCAUAUCCUCCAGCCUAUGGUCUAGGUAUCGAGAAGCCUGAUUAAGAGAAUAAAGAAGAGUCAGAGACGAUGUGAUGUCUCGCUUGACGUUCUAGAAUAACAUAAGGAAAUCUAUGGUGCAAGCAAGUUGAAGAAAGGUUGCGAGUAGUAUAAAUGGAUAUGUAUAGGUCGCAAGCUGAAGUAUGGUAGAGCGACAAAGUUUUAAGAAGACAUAAGUAAGGAUAAGGAAAGGCAAAUGAAAAGGGUACAAGAAUGGAUAAGUCCUCGGGAUUAGGCCCAUGAAAACAAGGGAGCUAAUGGCUUCUCUAGGUUAUAGUAAGCUCAGUAUAGCCUGAAUGGACUCAAAGGAGUUACUCUUCAUAAGUAGCAUCUAGAAGAAAUGGAAUGCUGCCCUAAUAGUAGAAUAAGGGUGUAAUUGUGAUAAAUAAAGGAUGACGUUUGGGCCUUCAAUUGAGUAAUGAUCGGACGAUGAAAAGAAAAGGACCUCAUGACUUAGACAUGAUUAAAAUAAUCAUGCAAGGUGAAUCACAUUGGGGUGCGGUGAGAUACGGUUAUGAAAGUAUGGUAUCGCCCCAGGUGGAUCAAUCUAAUCAUUUCAGAUGUUCCCCGAUAAAACAUGAAUCCUAGCGGCAGUAUUACAUAAAAAUGUUAAGUUAUCAGGGGUGGAUUAUGGAUCAAAAUUGAGGUAAAUCAACAAUGGAUAGAUAAAAGUUAUAAAAUAUGAGAGGAGAUUAGGUCGUCAUUCUUAAGAUGAACAGUAAUGUGGAAGUAUUAGAGGACAUAAAUUUAUACGUAUGGGAUAAGAAAUGAAAAUAGCUUGGAAUUUGGUAGCAGACCUCAGUAACGAGAAAUCAAGGUAAGAGUUAUGGUAUAGUACGACCUACAUAGAUGCAGUAAAAUCAUAUGAAUGUAUAACCAGGUCUAUGAAAUAAGAUGUAGCAAUAAUCGUAAAUUCAACAAAGUACCGAGGGAAGAACUUCAAACAUAUCUAUAGACACCCAAAGGGACACUUUAUCAUAAUUCUAUAUAUGUUCAAAGUGAAGCCCAGAGAUUGGCUAAAAGCUAGAGGAAAAAGGAGGCAAGAGUCGCAUAGGCUUACAUACAAGGAAAAAGUCAUACAGGCUUCAUGACAAAAGGUAGCAACAAUUGCGAGAUUGGAAGAAUUACGAGUCGUGGUGUGAAAAAUAGGCCUAAAGGGGGGAAUGCCCUGGCCUUUGGACUUAUUCGCAGAACAGUUGCCUAGAUGGAAAGAGGAGUACUAGAGUAUUCGCAAGAGCUAUGGGAUAUGAGGAUGAUAAGCGCAUCGGUUAACAUUCGAGGAUGAAUGUUCCAAAGGGGGGGAUGAUGUUAGAUCCCAUAUUUUCCUACAUGAAAAUACGCCAUAAAUAAAUUAAUUAAUGAGAGCUCGGAAGUGAGAUGUUACGUUCCACAUUUUUGUACGUUGAUGUUUCAUCGUAAGCUAAUCAACGUAAGCUUGGGAAUGAGAUUAGUUUGGAAUUAUAAGUAUUAUGCUAUUUCAAACAAGGAAUAAGUAAAUUAGUGAAGGUGAAAGGGUAAGCGAAUCGAAGGAAAUGAGUUUCGUCGAAGUUUGACAUUUUGGGAUAAAAACGGUCCGAGCUAUAAUACUCGUUAUUUAUGGACUAGUACCAUACAAGGUACCACAUGACCAUAAUAGUAAGAUGUAUAAGGUAUGUGAAAAGUAAGUAAUAUUUUAAGUAAGUGGGAAUAAUUUUCAAUUUUGCAGGUAAUUGAUUAAUUACCGGGUAACGAAACACUACCUAAUUACUAAAUAAGUAGAUAAAGAUUAAAAAACCCUACCCCUACCCCCACGUGGAAGCCCCCCCCAAUUCCUACACUGUGACUCAUGCCUUCAUUAAAUUAUGUGGCUUGAUGUGGUAAGUAAUGUUUUCUUUUUGUCGCUGAGUUGUGCCAAGUUAGGCAUUAAUUAGUUGGUAUUUAAGAUUACUAGUUUGACUUAUUGAGGUGCGUGUGGAGAGAGUUGCACUCUUUAAAGUUUUUAUAGAGCUCUAAUCAAGAUUCUUGUGUUAAAAAUGAAUCAAUCCCAAUUAUCCUACCAUACUCAAGGCCAACGAAUCCUAGGAAUAUUAAUGUCAAGCUAGGAGCUUUUCCUAUUGAAUUAUUUCAUACUAAUCUGUAUGAAGAUCUCAAGAGUAUAGAUGGAAUCAUGUAUCAUAUGUGACAUACACAUAUCCAGAUUUCGUGAGAUCAGUAUCGUAAUGGAAUAAAUCUUUAUGGGAGGAACAUGACAAUUUGGGUUGGAAUUCACUACACUGUGUUGUCUAUCUAGGAUUGAAAGAAGUAGUUUCUGAUAUGCUGGGGCAAAAGAAAUCCUUAAGCCUGCAUUUCAGCAGGCAGUAAAAAUCACUGGACAAUAACAAUUUACAUUGUAGCCAGUGAAGGUGAUGUAAGUAUGAUAAACGAGCUUUCAAAGCACUCCACCUUAUCAAUGUAGCGUGAGAUUUUUGCGAAUUUUAGGGAGUACGGUGUAAUAUUUCUCAAGAGAAUUGGCUCAGGUAUGUUAAGGCUAUCCCUUCUUUCUUUUGGCAUGAUCCAUAUGAUACGAACGAAACGUGCAAAUACACAAAUUUCAUAAAUAACACUAUUCAUAGAAGUAUUAGAGAUAUCUAUGUUCUUAAAUUUCCAUGUGUCAUAAUAUUUUAUCAUCUAUUCAUAGGUCUCAAAAAAAUAUGAAAGUUGAAAAGAGUUUACUUUAUGAUAUUACUCAAAGGCAAAAUGGUCUUGUGAACCUCCAAAAAAUUUUAUUAACGUACUUUUCAUGCAUUGCAUACAUAUGCAUUGACCCAUGACCAGAUGACGUUAUAUAUGCGUAUAUAUAUAAAUAUAUGUAUAUGGGAUAUGUGAAAAAGAUUACGGCAUUAUAUAUGCACCACCACCUGAUCAGCUGGUAUACGAUAAUUAUAUUGCCCACAAUGGCUGAAAUAUGACUCAAACGGUGUUAUAUACGCGCAUAUAUGUAUGUAUAUAUAUGUCUAUGGGAUAUGGGAAAGGUUAUGGCGUUAUAUACGUAUCACUACCUGAUCGGAUGGNNNNNNNNNNNNNNNNNNNNNNNNNNNNNNNNNNNNNNNNNNNNNNNNNNNNNNNNNNNNNNNNNNNNNNNNNNNNNNNNNNNNNNNNNNNNNNNNNNNNNNNNNNNNNNNNNNNNNNNNNNNNNNNNNNNNNNNNNNNNNNNNNNNNNNNNNNNNNNNNNNNNNNNNNNNNNNNNNNNNNNNNNNNNNNNNNNNNNNNNNNNNNNNNNNNNNNNNNNNNNNNNNNNNNNNNNNNNNNNNNNNNNNNNNNNNNNNNNNNNNNNNNNNNNNNNNNNNNNNNNNNNNNNNNNNNNNNNNNNNNNNNNNNNNNNNNNNNNNNNNNNNNNNNNNNNNNNNNNNNNNNNNNNNNNNNNNNNNNNNNNNNNNNNNNNNNNNNNNNNNNNNNNNNNNNNNNNNNNNNNNNNNNNNNNNNNNNNNNNNNNNNNNNNNNNNNNNNNNNNNNNNNNNNNNNNNNNNNNNNNNNNNNNNNNNNNNNNNNNNNNNNNNNNNNNNNNNNNNNNNNNNNNNNNNNNNNNNNNNNNNNNNNNNNNNNNNNNNNNNNNNNNNNNNNNNNNNNNNNNNNNNNNNNNNNNNNNNNNNNNNNNNNNNNNNNNNNNNNNNNNNNNNNNNNNNNNNNNNNNNNNNNNNNNNNNNNNNNNNNNNNNNNNNNNNNNNNNNNNNNNNNNNNNNNNNNNNNNNNNNNNNNNNNNNNNNNNNNNNNNNNNNNNNNNNNNNNNNNNNNNNNNNNNNNNNNNNNNNNNNNNNNNNNNNNNNNNNNNNNNNNNNNNNNNNNNNNNNNNNNNNNNNNNNNNNNNNNNNNNNNNNNNNNNNNNNNNNNNNNNNNNNNNNNNNNNNNNNNNNNNNNNNNNNNNNNNNNNNNNNNNNNNNNNNNNNNNNNNNNNNNNNNNNNNNNNNNNNNNNNNNNNNNNNNNNNNNNNNNNNNNNNNNNNNNNNNNNNNNNNNNNNNNNNNNNNNNNNNNNNNNNNNNNNNNNNNNNNNNNNNNNNNNNNNNNNNNNNNNNNNNNNNNNNNNNNNNNNNNNNNNNNAUGGUGUUAUAUAUGCACCACUACCUGAUCACCUUGUAUAUGAUGAUGAUUGCCCACAGUGACCAAUAUGAUAUGAUGGGAUGCCCUCAGAGGCUGAUGAUGUUAUGAAACAUGUACCUAUGCACGACAUGACAUUCUUACGCAUAUGCAUGACGCUAAAAGUAAUUUAUGAUUUACAGAGUUAUCAGACUUACAGGUUGAGUCAUGUACUCUAUAUUUCUUCCAUGUCUCUUAAGUAUUUAUUUAUGUGCCUAACAUACUCGGUACAUUAUUCAUACUGACGUCCCUUUUGCCCGGGGACACUGCGUUUCAUGUCUGCAGGUCUUGAUAGACAUGUCGAGAGCCCUCCAAGUAGGCUAUUAGCUCAAUGGAAGAUUUUGGUACGCUCCAUUUGCUUCGGAGUUACUCGUUUGGUUAGUAUGAUUUAGACGUGUAUUCUUUAGUAUGGCGGGACUCUGUCCCGACCUUUAUGACAUUUAUAUACUCUUAGAGGCUUGUAGACAUACGUGUACAUAAAAGAUUGUACGGCCUUAUCGGCCUAUGUUUUGUGUUUAUAAAGGAUCAUGUUGGCCUAUUAGGCCCGUAUGUCAUGUGUAUAUGAUGAUGUAAUAAGAAAGAUACGUUACAUUGUUACUCGAUUGAGUAAGGUACCAGGUGCCCAUCGCGGCCCAUGGGUUGGGGUCGUGACACCGCAUGCCUGAUUGAUUUAUGCCACGAUGUGGCUUGUUAUAGCGUUUGGGCUGUAGGAUCCCCUCCGGAGUCUAUACACCCCCAGUGAGCAUGGGUACCCUAAGUGAGUGAUAUGAUAUUUUGAUCGAGGGGUUGUUCUUGUUUUAUGUCAUGCCCGAGGGGUUGUUUACGAGUGAUUGUGAUGUAUGCCCAAGGGGCUGUAUAUGAGUGACAGUGAUGUUUGCCCGAGCGGCUGUUUAUGAUUCAUGUUGCCGGAUGGGUUGUAUACGAGUGAUGUUUGUCCGAGGGGCUGAUUAUGAUUUAUGUUGCCCGAGGGGCUGUAUAUGAGUGAGUUUUUCCCGAGGGGCUGAUUAUGCUUUCAUCAUUUUUACUCACUAUUUUAUCACUUCGUUUGAAAACUGUUGAAAGAUGUCUUAAAUGGUUUUAUUGAAACUGGAUUCAAAUGAGCCGAAUUGACUGAAAACCCUGAUUUUAAAUGCAAGUUGUAUUCUACUGAGAUUUCAUGAUAUGAACUGUAUAUAUUUUAUUGCUCGUCACCACUGCUUAGACUUUACUUACCUUUAUUACUCACUGAGUUGGCGUACUCACAUUACUUCCUGCACCUUGUGUGCAGAUCCAUGUAUUUCUUAACCCGAUAGCGGGUAUUGAUUACUCAGUGGCAGGUCCAUCGAAGUUAGUAAGGUAGUUGUCUGGUGAUCGCAACCCUAUUUUUAUCCCUCCUUAUCCUCCCUUAGUUGUAUUCAAUUAUUUCUAGGCUAUGUUAGUCUUGAUAUUGUCAGACGAUUGUAGUAGAUGGUCAUGACUAGUGACACGCCGAUGUCGGGCUUUCUUUCCGCACUGUGUUUUGAUUUAAACUCCUCAUGCAGGUUUAUUGUUAAAUAGCUUUGGUUUUGUCUUAAAAAUAAAUAUAUUGAUUGGUUUUGGUAGUGUGUCAGCUUGCCUAGUACCACAUUAGGCGCCAUCACGACAAGGUUAUUUUUGGAUCGUGACAAGUUGGUAUCAGAGCCUAGGUUACAUAGGUCUCAUAGUCAUGAUCAAAUUUAGUAGAGUCUAACGGAUUGCUACAGAGACGUCUGUAUUUAUCUUCGAGAGGCUGCAGAACCUUUAGAAAAUCCCAUAUUCUUGAAUUCUUAUCGUGCGACAUUGAUUCAACUUGAAAUGAAACUCUUGAAAUUCCUUCCACGCAUUCGUAUACGCGCAUGAACGCUCAGUAUCAGUUGUGCAUCGAUGGCUUGUGAUUCCCUAGAUAAGGUGCGAGAUGUAAUUUCUAUGUGUUGAUGUUAGACCAGUCUGGAGGGCUUGAGGCCGAGUUUUGACUGUAGCUUGAGCACUUAGAUUUCGAUUGUGUAAGCAUGUGUAUUUGGGACUUAUAUGCCCAGUUUGUGUCCUUAUUGGUGGGUUUUGUGACUGGAUAGCUAUGGGGUGAGUAUGAUUUGAUUUCAAGGUGUGUUCAGAUUGUUCGAAUGUGACAAGAAGAGUUUGCUGGAGAAGUAGAAAUGACUAUUAGGUGCUUGACUUCUGUCUUGAGUUGGCGUCUGGCCUCGAGCUAUAAGUGUGUUGAAGGACCUCUCAUGUAGUUUAGUUGUGAAGUGGAGUAGAUCUGCAUGUUGUGUUAUGAGUUCAGACUCAGGGGGUUAAGUGAUUGUGUAAUAGUUAUGAUUAUGGAAGAGUAUAUAGAGAUACCAAUUUGAGGCUAAGCAAGUGGAUUAUCUCAUGCAGGGUGUUCUGAGAUUUGUGUAAUCCUUAUGUAGUUGGUUGGGAGUUCUCUUUUACCAGUGAAAUAUAUGUGUUGCAAUUUGAUUUUGGAUCGCUUAUGGGAGUGGGCUUGUCUGUUACGAGGGUGAACGCGAGAUAUGCAGAUGAUUUGAAAUACUAGAUGGAUGUGUUGCACGAGCUUAUGAAGGAUUUAGUUCAAUCUGACCAUGGUAUUAUGGCAGUAAUAGAGUAUGGGCAUUGUGAGUUUUUUGAGUGUUUUGACCUAUGGCUUUGAGCUAAGUGGGGGAGUCUGCUAUUGAUAAGUUGAUUGCGCGACUAAGUGUCGUAUAAAUUUCAGUUAGAGGUAACUGGAAUAUCAGUUGUGGCUUACAAGGGUUGAGAUCGAUGAUGACUCGAGUAAAGGAAAUUUUGAAUAGGGGUUGUGUUAUGCUUUAUGGGUGUAUAAGAAUCAUGGAAUGACUUGAGUUGUUAUUUGUGAAGGAUGUAAUGUGCAUGGAGCAGGAAUUUUUUUGGUUGCAUUAAGGUGGGGUUACUUCUUGGGGUGUUGGAAUGCUAAUGGAGCACAUGUCGUUCGGUCCGUUUGAUUAGUCUAAUUGAGGUUUGAGCAGAGUGGAUGACUCCCGAGAAUAGUUCUAAUGGAUUCAAGAUGUAUAUGUAACCAUUGAGGGUUCUUCAAGAUGUGUAUUUGGCCAGAAACUGAGGUUUACAUUGGAGGGUGUCAAGACUUGUGGCAUUUCUACAUUAUUAUAGAUAUCAGUAUCAAGAAUGUAAAGGUAAUGGCUUUAGAUUCGCAGGAAGUCUCUUCAGGGUAAGUUUUUUAAAUGUGGUGCUUUUGGGGAUAUUUGAGAGAGGAUUCAGCGGCUUAUGAGCCUUAGACAGUGUAGUUUUAUACUUGGGUCUCGUGUGGUGAGUCUGGGUUGAGGAUUGUGGUAUUAUAGCAAGGAGAAGUAUCAAUUCGAAGGUAAUUCAGAAGGAACCUAGAUAAAUAGGACAGCUUGGUAGUAGGUCGGAUCAGCAUGGUAAGAGAUAUGAUUAGUUCUUUGGGUGCUUAGGAGGUAAUGAGUUUCUACAGGUGUUUCGUGGCAAAGCUCUUGGGUUUUUGGUGACCUGCGUAGCUUGGUUGAGCUAGAAGGGUUCAGUCAUAACGGUUUGGUUUUGUGCAAAUGGGAUUCUGAGAGUCCUUAAUGGCUUCUACCAUGGUUAGAGAUGAAUAUUUUCUACUGGCGUGAGGAGCAUGUGAUGUAUAGUGAUUUUCUUCUAGAUGGGAUCAAAUGGAAAGUUCUUGACUAGUUGAGUACGUAGUUUCUUGUGGCUCGGAAUGGAUUAUGAAGUUCUCAUAUUUAUCAUAGGAUGACAUGGUAUACGCGGUAUGUUGUGUAGGGUUGAGAUUUGCAUGUGUGAGGCCACAGUUCAGUUCUAGAAGGAAGGUCAUAAAUUCUUAGGCAACAUGGAUAGUUUUAGAUGACUAGGUAAAUGAUAUCACUAAUUGGUGCAGCUUAAUGAGGGUAUACAUUUCAGAAAAGGCCAAUGUGUUUGAGUUAAGGGUACUUCAUCGGUAUUUUGGCACUCUUUUGUUGGAUCGACUACUGAUAUUCAAGUUUGCUUGGUGUCACAGAAGAAUUAUAGGAGUAUCCCUCGUGAAAUGAUUGAGUAUUAGAGGUGUGUUAUAUAUUCGAGCGGUGGAGUUAGGAUCAGAUAUGCUGAUUCGUGCGCUUUAUGGAUUUCGAAACUGGGAGUUCUCAUAAACAGAUUAUUUCCUGGUUGUGGAUUGUAAAAAUGUGGCCAGAGCUAGACAGAUGAUAGUAUGCUUUAUGGUUUAGUCAUUGUGCACUUUUGGAGAGUUAUCUAUUUGUUUUGGGUGACCAGAGUUGAUUUAGGGCUCAUUGGUAGGCCCAGUAUGGAUGUGUGUUCUGCACCUGGUCAGAAUUGUUGACUCCGAAUGAGGUAUGUGCCAUUCGAUUGUCAUUGAGCUUAUUCGUGUUCUGGAGUGAUCUAUGAGUUACCCUUCUGUGUUGCAAGGAGUUGUGAUUGUUGGUUAUAUGCACAUAUGGUGCAGUUCUAUUUGGGUGUUAUAGCAGAAUUUGAGUGAGAUGUGUAUUUAGGUAUUGCAUGAUUGAUUGCGCAUUGGAUAUGUUCUUUCGGGCUGGCAUGGCAUUGCAUCAUUUACUUUUCCGUGGUUAUGGUGAUUUACUUUUGGUACUAGACAUCAAAUUACGCGUGGUUAAUGAUAUUGAGCAUGGUAACUUGAGGUGUCUCAUGUAGACCAGUGUUUGGAUAGGGUCGUGCAUUGUAGCAAGGUUAUGUGGAGGUAUGAUCCUUCGGGUUAGAUUCGUGUGUUCUGGUUCUGCGAUGUGUGAUGGGAUCUUAGCACUGUGUUGUGGUAGUACUGGUGAGCUUGCAAUACAACCCUCUCAUUUGAGUCAUUUUUCCAUGAUUUGAGCACAUUUAGACUGUUGCAUAUUGGUGCGCGAGUCGCAUGGGUUGUGGCUUUAGAUUGUAUUGAUGUGUCAUGUCACUAGAGUAGUCGUGUUGGAUGAGAUGAGGGCAUCGGGAUCUAGAAUGAAUACUAUCGGAUUCAAUUUUAGCAUGUUGGAAGGAUAGUAUCGGUACUCGGCUUAGAAAUUUACUAUGGUCCUAGCCGAAGGAGAGGGAGCUCCAUACGUGGUUGAUUUGAGGAAUGUUUAUGAAUUUCUGCGUGUUUCAUUCAUCAUUGGCAAUAUACGAAUGUGUUGGAAUGAGGCCUUGUUUGAUAAGAGGUUUAUUACCGAAAUUGGGUUAUUUGAGCAGCUGCUGUGAUUAGAAGUGAUCACUGUGAGUGUUUGAGUUGUGUGGUAUAUCAUGUGAUUUUCAUCUUGAAUUGUAGUUAUGGCUUGAUACAGCGUGUUCGGACUUAUUCAGUAAGUAGAUGUGAGAUUCUGAUCUUAUAGAUAAUUUCGGAAAUGGAAAAUUGGUUCUAAGGUUAUGGGCUAGGGUGAAUUGUGAGAUUUUAGUUAUGUUGUGUUGUCGGACCUAUAUGGGAUAGGGUGACAUGGGAUCACCCCCGGGUAUGUGCAUGGUAAGGUUACACAGCGAUUUGAUGGCUUUUGGAACAACUCCUAGCACGUUCGAGGACGAACGUAUGUUUAAGUGGGAGAUGAUGUAACGACCCGACCAGUCGUUUUGAGCAUUUGCACUUCGCUCUGUUGUUUGAGGGCAUGAGUAGCUAUGUAUGAAGUAUUAUGAUUUAUGCGAAUCGUCGGUUUUGGUUUUCAGGUUAUUUGGAAUUGAUUUGGAAGAAUGAUUCUCACCUGGAAGCUUUAAAUUUGAAAGGUUUGACAAAGUUUUGACUUUCUAUAAUUUGACGUCGGAUUGGAUUUUUGAUGGUUCUGUUAGCUCUGUUUGGUAUUUUGGACUUAGAAGCGCGUCCGGAUUGUGAUUUGGAGGUCCGUAGUAGAAUUUGGCUUGAAAUAGCGAAAGUUGGAAUUUUGACCGGGAGUGGACUUUUUGAUAUCGGGGUCGAAUUCCGAUUCCGGAAGUUUGAUCAGGUCUAUAAUGUCAAAUGUGACUUGUGUGCAAAAUUGAGGUUAAUCGGACGUGAUUUGAUAGGUUUCGGCAUCAUUGUGGAAGUUUCAAGUUCAUUGAUUUCGAAUUGAGGUGUGAUUCGUUGUUUCGAUGUUGUUAUGUGUAUUUUGAAAUCUCAAGUAGGUCCGUGUUAUGAUAUGAGACUUUUUGGUAUGUUCAAACAGAGUCUCGAGAGGCUCGGGUGAGUUUCGAAUAGGUUUGGAUUGUGUUGCGCUCAUUUUUUUUAAUCUUUCGACAUCGUUUUUUCAAGCAUAAAUGGUACUAUAUUAUGCAAAUAAGCUCAGAUUUCUUUUUUUAUCAAAGUAUUAGAUUCGUAUCAUAAUGAUGGAGCCAUAGCAAAAAGAAUCAUCAAAUUUGGACAUCGUAUGAGGGUUUUAUGGUCAUUUUACUAAGAAUUGGGUUGCCAGAUUUUUUCAGAUUAAUUACGAAAUUGCGACUGAAUUCGUACUUAAAAAUUUGCAUUGUUUUCAAAUAUUGAAACCAACAUAUCUCCUUCAAUAUAAGGUCAAAUGGAGUGAUUCAAGAGUCUAAAUUGACUAAAAUUUUACAAGGAAUCUAUUAGAGGCAUCAAAAGCGAGUUUCGGGAUCGUUUGGAAUGAGAAUCAAGGUAGAAUAGCUGGUAGAAAAAUAUAUAAAAUAAGGGUUUGUUCAUUUAGUCAUAUUUUGAGUUGGGGGGCUCGGAUUUGGGUGAUUUUGGAGGCGGUUUUCACCAUAUGAAUUGGGAUAAGUAUUAUCUACUCGAUUUUAGUUAUAUUUCAUGAAUCCAUCUUCGUUUUUGGCAUUUGAUUGAUGAUUUCAAAGUGAAAUUUUGGGGCUUUUGCCUAAAGUUUCAUAAAGUGAAUUUUUAUGUUUUGAACACCGAUUUGAAGUUGGAAUUGGAUGAAACUAGUAUGGUUGGACUAAUAAUUGAAUGAGUUGUCGGAUUUUGUAAGUUUUGUCGAGUUUCGAGAUACUUGCCCGGGUUGGGCUUUUUGGCCGAUUAUGGGCUUUUUAUUAAAGAUUCGAACUUUUUCGAUUGAGAUUGGCUUCUUUAGCAUUGUUUGAUAUAUUUGAGUUGUUUUUGGUUAGUUUUGAGCCGUUCGGAGGUCAGAACACACGAGAUGAUAUUUUUGGAGCAUCGCUUGGUUUGCUCGGUAUUAGAAUUGGCUUGUUUGAGGUAAGUAAUGAUUGUAAAUUUAGUCCUAAGGGUAUGAAACCCCGGAUUUCAUAUUGUUUUACUAUUUUGAGGUGACACACAUGCUAGGUGACGGGCGUGUGGGCGUGCACCGUUGGGGAUUAUGACUUGGUCCGUCUUGAAGCAACUAUAUAGUUACGUAUUUGACUGAAACUAUUUGAUACUUAUGUGAUUUAGAAAGAAUUUCCUAUAAAUUGGGUUGGAUGCGAUAUUUGGGCCUUGUGCUAGAGCUGUUUGGAACCUUAGGGGCUUUUUCUUAUUAUCCUCUCUCUGUCUUUUUAUUUAAGAUCUAUACUGAGUCGUGUUGUAUUUACUGAUUUCAUAACUCAGUCUUUAUUACUCCGUUUUGAUGCAUAAAAUGAUAUUUUGGGGUGAGCACCCUGUUUUACUGAUAGUCCGAGUGGCUUGAGAGGUUUCUGACUGAGUGAGAUCGAGGGCCUGUGUUGUGAGGAUAUUAUGGGAUCAGGCUGCACGCCGCAGCAUGUUGUUAUUGAUUCAUGAUUUUUGUGAGGCCGCGAGCCUGAUUGAUUUAUGCCACAAGGUGGCUUGUUAUGAGGCUGAUGGCCUGAUUGAUUUAUGCCACGAUGUGGCUUGUUAUAUCGUUUGGGCUAUGGAGCCUCUCUGAAGUCUGUUCACCCCCGAUGAGCGCGGGUACCCUGAGUGAGUGAUAUGAUAUUUUGCCCGAGGGGCUAUUCUUCUUUUAUGUUGUGCCCGAGGGGUUGUUUACGAGUGAUUGUGAGGUAUGCCUGAGGGGCUUUAUAUGAGUGACAGUGAUGUUUGCCCGAGGGGCUAUAUACAAGUGAUGUUUGCUCGAGGGGCUGUAUACGAUUGAUGUUUGCCGAAGGGGCUGAGUAUGAUUUAUGUUGCCCGAAGGGCUGAUUAUGUUUUCAUCAUUUUUACUCAAUGUUUUAUCACUUCAUUUGAAAACUACUGAAAGAUGUUUUAAAUGGUUUUACUGAAACUGGAUUCAAAUAAGCUAAAUUGACUCAAAACCCUGAUUUUAAAAGCCUUUUGUAUUCUACUGAGAUUUCAUGAUAUGAACUGUAUAUGUUUUAUUGCUCGUCACUACUAAUUAGUAUUUAUUUACCUUUAUUACUUACUGAGUUGGCAUACUCAUAUUACUCCCUGCACCUUGUGUGCUAAUCCAGGUAUUUCUUAACCCGAUAGCGGGUGUUGAUUACUAAGUGGCAGGUCCAUCGGAGUUAGUAAGGUAGCUGCUUGGUGAUCACAACCCUGCUUUUCUCCCUCCUUAUCUUCCCUUAGUUGUAUUCAGUUAUUUCCGGGCUAUGUUAGUCUUGAUGUUGUCAGACGGUUGUAGUAGAUGUUCAUAACUAGUGAUACCCUGAUGUCGGGCUUUCUUUCCGCACUGUUGUUUUGAUUUAAACUCCUCAUGUAGGUUUAUUAUUAA
This 46246-nucleotide long non-coding RNA is filed under the name Nicotiana tabacum (common tobacco). RNAcentral's name for it is "long non-coding RNA (NTAB_LNC008171)". Lineage: Eukaryota; Viridiplantae; Streptophyta; Magnoliopsida; Solanales; Solanaceae. The record is from RNAcentral.